ACCACCAAAACUAAAGUCAACACCUAAAUCAAAGCCAAAUCCUCACACUUCCUCGCGGGUGACCACAUAAACAAAAUCGUAUCACCUAUCGACUGUUGCACACCAUAAACCCUCCAACCAAUCAAAACCCCUGAAAAAAUAACUUCAACUUCUCAUUCACAGUUGAACCCAAUUAAACACUCGAACAAUGACUUAUUCCAACACUUUCGAAUUUUACCACCCCUCAACCUCCAGUACGCCAGAGAAGACAUCAUAACGAGCACAAAAACUUGAGAAACAAAAGCGAUAGGCCAGUUAUAUAAAUGAUUUUUUGAACUAGACUUCAAAAACAAAAGCGAUCGACCCACCUAACUUCAUAAACAAAUCAUUAAAAAAAAAACCUCAACUACCGGUCUACCGGAGAAAACACCAAAGUAAGCCCAAAUUUUUUGAACUAGACACUAACUCCCGAUCUCAAAUCAAAACCGAUCGGCCAAUUAUAUAAAUGAUAUUAUAACUAUUAGAUUUUUCUUUGUAGGAAUCGAAACAAUGUCUAUCUAUCUAAAACCAAUACCCAUAGGCAUAGCCCUCAGUAGAUGACACGAGUAUAUUUUAGUGAUAUUGAAUGAUAAACCCGUGAAAUAAAGUUCAAUAUGUAUUUUUCCCCUAAAAAAAUGUAUAUUUUCUAAAGGGUAAUAUGUAUUGGUUAUUGUUAAUGAAUGUCCAAAACGCGUCUUCAAUCUAAAUAUUGAGCCAAAAACUAAUUUUUUAGAACUGGGCAUCAUUUUAGUAAAGCAUCUCAUUGAAUUAAAUUAAUAUGUUGUUCUGAAAUUGGUAUGUUUACUUGGCUAAGUUACCUUUGUUAAUUCUCUUACUUCAAAUCAGUAGACGACAUUUAAAUGCACAAUAUGUAAGCAUCUCAAAUGCACAAUAUGGCAUCUCCAAUGCACUAUAAAAAGGCACAACAUGGUUUUCUAAUCAUAUCAUCAUAAUUCUAUACAAUUCUAUAGAGAGAGAGAGAGAGAGAGAAUGAUGGCAAUUAGGUUUUCAUUAGCUAAUCUUCUGUUCAUGUUCAUCAUUGGUUUUAGUAUUUCAGACCUUACACCAACACCAUCCCCAAACCUUGUCAAGAAAAAACCUCCAUCUCGAUUACCACCACCACCUCCCACCCAUUUUGAGCAUUUUAUGAUGGUCGAUCCAGAGAUGGCCAAAGACAUUUUGCCAAACUGUUAAAUGUAGUAAGGACAUUCAACCUCUACCAACAGAAUUCGUUAUGCAUGGAUUGUGGCCUGCUAACAGAGUUAUAUCUGAUCCACGUGGUUGUUUAGAUAAAACCAACCAAAAGACAAUAGAUAUUGGCAAUGUAGGUGUAUUUAUUUUCUUCGUUCAUUGUUUAUCAUUAUUUUUAUAUGAUUUGAAAAUUAACUUUUUGUUUUGUUUUAUUCAAUCAGUUUCCGUUGGACUUGAAGGAAGAACUUGAUAAAGUGUGGCCGGAUUUAUUAGUUUAUGAAAAGUCUCGACUAAUAAACAUUGCUUUUUGGGAUGAGCAAUGGAAAGCGCAUGGAAGUUGCUCCAAUAUGGAUAUAAUUGAUUUCUUCAAGCUCAGUCUUUCCAUUUAUAAGAAAAUCGGUUCUCUAAAGGAAGUCCUUGGGAAAGAGGGCUAUUCACCCGGUCCUCAAAGCCAUGUAGAAAAACAAAAAAUUGUCGAUAUCAUUAAGAAGCAUACUGAUGGUAAAGCCAGUCCACGGAUUAAAUGUGAAAAACAUGAUGGCAAAACAUAUUUGCAUGAAAUACAAGUAUGUGUCGACAAAACCGAAAACCACAACUAUACUAAUUGCCGUACACCAGAUUUGAUUGACUGUGAAAAGGAUGUAUACUUUCCUUGAUAUCGGGUGUUGUGUUGCUACUCUUCCUAAUAGUUACAUGACCCAUUGUGUGUGCCUUUUAUUAUUUAAAAACCCAUUAUGUAUGCCGUUAAAUAUAAAAUUAAUGAAAUAAACCAUCAAUUUAGUUUCUAAAGUAUUAUUCUCUUCAAUUUUGUCCUUAAACUAUAAAAAUAUAAAAGCUUAAUUACACAUUUAAUCUUUUAACUUAAUUCUUUUUUUUAAAUUGGUCCCUUAAUUAUUAAACAUUUCAAUUUAGUCUUUUAUCUUGUUUCCAUAAUUCAAUUUGGUCCUAUUUCAUUAGAUCUAACCUCUUAAAAAAUGAGACCUAUUAGAUCUAACCGUGUAUCACCGACACCUAAUCAUCUACAUCUACAUCUUCAUCUUCAUAACCUUCGUCAAUCUUCAUUAUCUUCAACUUUUUUUUUUCUUUCAAAAAUUCAUCAUUUCAAAUUUAACAAAAACAACAUAAUCAAUUCUAAUUGUGAAAGUUAAGAAAACAAAUGACACUUGUUCUUCGGAUGCUCCAAUGUAGAGGAAGUAUAAUGAGAGAUUGGUCUUCGGUAAAAUAUGAAUUAAGUUGACUUUAAGUGUGGUGUAUGAUACAAAAUUAAUAUCGCCAAAUGACUUUCUGGAUAGAUUAAUGUUGGAUAAUUCAUAGAAAAGUCUCAACUGAGAUUUGUGAUUUGUGGGGUUGGUUUUAAAGGAUGAGAUUAUGGGAGUGACAGAUUUGAACGAGGAGAAAUUUCUUAACAGAAUUGGGAAGAAGGAGAAAUUAUCAUUCUCGAUUAAUUAGUUUUUUAUCUUUAGGAAUGACUGCAACUCUGCAACUAAUUGCAAUGCAUGUAUUAUCAUGGGAAUGAGUAUAUUUUAGUUUUUAUACAAGCGUAAUAGUCAAUGAUUUGACCCAAGAACUUUAUUAGAUAUUUUAUUGAACGUCCAGAUACAAGUUCUACAACAUUUUAUUGUACAUACAAGUUCUACAACAUUUUAUUGAGCGUUUUGCAGCACGGUGGCGAGAUCAUGCGUAGGCACCUGAGUGACAGAUGACAAAUGUCUGGGAACAUCAUGUACAUAGAAAAGCUGCCUCUUUACCCGCUCAGGUAAAUGACGGUACCCCCUCUCCUUCCCGCACAUCAGUCAUCCUGAGUAAGUGACAAUAAGCUGAAAAGGGCGUAUCUCUCUAUGAUCACCAUAAGUAGAAAACCUUACGUCAUCCACCUCUAAGCGAUCAAGCCGUUAGCGGUAAUGGUGCACAUCUUUAUGCUCUUUGGAUGUAAGCCAUCUCCCAGCACAUGGUCUCUCCGACGUCCACUCAUUGUUUUUCUUCCUUGGGUACAGACCUGGCAAAUGCUCCAAAAUCCAUCCCUGCAACAAAUAAAUAAAAUACAUUAUAAAAGCUUCACAAAAAAAUUUAAAUUAAAUCCUAAAUAAAUGCAGUCGAACUUAGGAAAAAAUAAUCUAACAUGAUAAUAAAAAUUAUAAAAUAAAUUCAUAAAGAAAUGAAAAUAAAUAUUAAAUUAUUACCAUAAAAAGAGUUGUACUCCCAGCCAUCGUUCUAUUAUUCAGAAUAACAGAAUCAUCUAGAUAGUCGUACAGGUACGCUAAGGCCAUCCCUCCCCAUGACCACUUCCCAAUCGCCUGCAAGUCCGCCAUACAAUCAAGAUAUAUCAAGUCGAUGUGUCUGUUCGUUUUGUUAGUGAACAGCGCACAACCGACGAGAUAUAAAAGAAAACUCCUCACACACCACUGUCUCCUCCUGGCUCUCUCCUGCAGCUCCUCCCUCGUCUGUGGGUCCUCCAGCCGUCUAGCCUCUGUCAGGUGGCCUUCAUAAACCCGCUUUAGUGUGGGAUAAUUGAUAUGAACAGCAGACUCAGUCAUAGUCUCAGCCCUAGCAUCAGCAUCUGACAUGCCCAACAACCUGGUCAUCAAAUCAAUCGCACGCUCCUGACCCAUUGCCUCAUCAUGGUCCAGCAUGCGGCCGUGAAUAGGAAUGUGUAGGAGAUGAUGCACAUCGUCCAAAGUGAUCGUCAUAUCCCCCACAAGUAGAUGAAAACUGCUCGUCUCCGUGUGCCACCUCUCGCACAUAGCACGUAUCAUGGCAUGGGUCACGGUAGAAUGCCCCGUGUAUAUCAAAUCAUGUAGGCCAGACCCCUCCAUAGGCUCCCAAAACCACCUCAAACCCGCCUCGGCUUACCAAACUCUUUCAUCUUUUUUCCUGCAUUUAUACACUUGUAACCCGUCUGAUCAUGCCACAUCUGAAAUUCAAAUUAAUUAAGACAUUGUCACUAUUUUAUAUAAUUAAAACACUUACGCUACAUAAUAUUAUAUAAUUAAAACACUAACGAUACAUUCUUUUAAAUAGUUAAAACACUUACACUACAUAAUAUUAAAUAAUUAAAACACUUACGCUGCAUAAUAUUAUAAUAAAACACUUACGCUACAUUCUUUUAAAUAAUUAAAACAUGGCUUAAUUACUCUUUUGGUCCCUUAACUUAUUUUUUGGUUUCGUUUUGGUCCCUUAACUAUUAAAAGUUUCGUUUUGGUCCCUUAACUUAUUUUUUGGUUUCGUUUUGGUCCCUUAUCCUAACAUAAAGGACCAAAGUGGUUGACGGAGGAAGAGUUAAGGGACCAAAAUGAAAUUUUUAAUAGUUAAGGGACCAAAACGAAAUUUUUAAUAGUUAAGGGACCAAAACGAAACCAAAAAAUAAGUUAAGGACCAAAAGAGUAAUUAAACCUUAAAACAUUUACGCUACAUUAUUUUAAAUAAUCACUUUAAAGCAUUUAAAGAAUUUUAAAUAAUGUAAACACUUACAUUAUGAUGGUUCACCCAAAGAGGGUUCGCCAUGUGCCUCGCGUAGUCGGACAACAGUGACGUGGUCUCAGGUCCUCCAGGAUAGGGAGGCUCUCCAACAUGAUAUGGCGGUAUCGGUGGAACACGACGACGUCGUCGCUGAGUCUGAGGCUCAGGUUCACCCUCAGGAAUAACAUUCUCUGCCUCCAUAUAAUCUGCCACAACAUCCUCUGGCACCUCCUCAUCAUCCUCUGCCUCGUCCUGUGGCUGAUAAAACAUUCGAUCCUCCUCCAUCUGAUCAUAUCCCUGAAAUCCAUCCACAUACUCAUACGUCUGUGUCGGAUCAACCACCUGGGAGGAGUAAUCCAUAUGUGGUUGUGAGCUCUCUACACCUGGCCUCGCGUCCCUCCGCUUCCGAGCCUUCGGGACAUACGGGUUUUGAUCCACCUUUUCUCUUCGAGCGCUAGCGGUACUCGCCGCUUUGCCUUUGCGCAUCCUAUCCUCUCUAAUAACCUGCUGCCGCUCCUCCUCGUCCCUAGCCAUAUCUGUUCAAAACAAAUUUAAAAAAACACAAUGACGUGGAGAAUGUAUUUAAGCAUUUCCUUAAAAACUAUAUACUUUUAAGGCAUUUAACAUAGCAUAAAAAUCCAACCAAGUAACAUGUAACAUAUAAAAAAUGAUUCAAAAAAAAAAAAAAUACAAAUCCACACUUAGAAUCCAAGCUUAUAAUAUACCACAUUUAUAUUACAUACCACAUUAUGUCAUUCUUCAAACUUGCCAAAAAAUUAAAAAAUCCAAGCUUAUAAUAAUUAUAACAUAUAUACUUUAUAAAAUUGAAGAUAUUUGAAAAAAAAUUACACAAAAAAAGCAAGAUUUCCUCACUUAUGCAUUUUAUCAAACACCUUAUGUGCAUUCUAAAUUAGGAGCAUAAUUAGUGUUAUUUGAACAUCUAAAGGGCUACAUUGUACCUACAUUGUCUCUAAACAACAAUUACAUCAUAAACAAUCCAUCAAAGCAUCUAAAUCAUGCUUAAUUUUCAAUUUUCUAACCUAACAUAAAACUACCUAAAACUAACAUUUUGCUCAAAUUUAUGAAAACUAACACCCUAAACAAACUACAUUACAUGUAAAUAGAAAGGAAAGAAGCCUAGUAAAUAAAAAGAAAGGAAAGAACUUACUUGUGAAUUAAUUGAUGAAAUUUGGCGCAAAUUCGUGAAGUACAAGUUUGGAGAAAUUUGGAAGUUGUGAUUUUAGUGUUAGUGUUUCUGGAAAAUGGAAAAAUGAGGGUCUGUUCUUGUUUAUUCACAUAACUCAGCGGUUGUUAACUACUGUUGAGUUCCAGCGGCAGUUAACUGCCGGCGGUUUGGAGAACGGUAGUUAACUACCGCUGGGGGUAUUUAAAUAUUUUACUUGUGUUAAUAGGAAGGUUUCAUUGUCAAAAAGCAAUCUCCAACUUGCAGUUGUAGCUCCACAAAAAUCACAUCAAAAGACCAUUGGGAAGUGAGAAACAUGAUGCAAACUCCAAUCCAAGCACUCACUAAGUCUCAAAAAGUGAAGGAUCAUAAUGUAAUAAUAGUUUAGAUCAUGGGCUAAUACCUUUAAGUGGUUAUUCUAAGCUUUCAUUAGUAGCUCAUUAGGAUUCUAAAUGAGUUGUAGCUUACUAAAUUAAUUAUUGGGAGCAUAUAGGGGACCUAUAUAUCGUGAGAAUAAGUUUUUGUAAAGAUCAAAUGCAACUCUGUACCCAAAAAAAAAAGAGAAUCAAAUGCAACCUCUUUUUCCUAGCCGCAUGGCGGUCUCACCUUCCAUAUGAUUCAAGCUAUUAUGUCAAACCUACCUUGCUGAAUAAAGAUAAUAGUAGCAGAAAAAAUGAAGGAAAACCUAAUGAUCAUGGUAGAUUUUGGUGGAACAUACCGAAAUCAAAUAAUUUUCCAGAACGGAUGGGGCAUGUUAGUCAAGUAGAGAAAAUUUAGUAGCUAUUGAUUAUUUUUUCCGGUUGUGGUGCGCCACAAUCAUGUGUAAUAAAUUUGGUAUGCAUUGUUUUUCUCUGUAAUAGAUACAUAUUUCAUACUUUGGGUGAAGUGAAUGUUAUCAAGCUCCAUUGGUUUUUGAUGAUUGUGUCACUCUUUUAUCUUUUAAUGCGCUAUUAUGUCAUGCCUACAUGUAUUGAAUUUCGAUCGGGUAGCUAUUAUGUUAAACCUAGGCGUGACAAAAUGGAUGGAUUAGAUGGAUAUGGAUUUGGAUCGUAAUGGGUGGAUCAAAAAAGGUUCAUUAGUCCAUUACAAUCCACUUUUUUUUUCUUAAAAAAAAACAUCCCAAUUCCCAUCCAACUAAAAUAAAGUUCAUCCAAUCCAUCCAUUAUUAGAUUUUAAUGAAUGGAUAAUCCAUUUGAUCCAUAAAUCAAAGUGUAUUUUUUUUUUUAAAGUGUAUUAUUUUUUUGAUAGGUGUAUUAUUUAAUAGAAGUGUUUUAUUAGUGAAUUCAAUCUAAAUAAAUUUUAUACAGCAAGACCGAAAAAAUGUAUUAGUGACUCAAACCUACCUUCCUGAAUUGCAAUCUGGUUCAAGGUUCAAGCUAAUACUGUGAGCAUUGAUAUGUCGACCACACAUAGUGGGAAAAUGUUUGGUUAUUGUUGUUGUAUUGAUUUGCGACAGCACCAUCAUACAUUGAAAUUGAUUAGCCGUAUUUGUAUAGUCUCUCAUAUCAAUCUUUUUUACUAAAGCUUGUAUGGUCAAGCAAUCAUACUUAUAUCUAAUCUUUGUUAACAUUGCUAAUGAAAUUGCAAACCCUAAACCUAAAUGGUUUUGGCUCCAAAACAAGGGAGGCCGUUGGAUCUCAUCAUUUGGCUAAGCAUGCAUCUCAUCCUUUGAUCUAAUCUGAGUCAAAUUUUUAAAUUUGAUGUAUAUUUCCUAUGCAUUUAUCCAAGUUUUGACUCAUUAAUUAUCCUCCAAUUCCCAAAUUGACUCCACACUUAUCGAUGUCCACCUCUUUCUCCUUCAUUUUUAAGUUCUCUUCUCUCCUCUCCCAUUAUUCCUUCUUUAUGUGUUGGAAUUCAGAUUGCUUUUACUCAAAAAAAUUUCUUCGCCCUUUGAGUUGUUCAUCUUCCACCUCACUCUCAGACAUUCAAACAAAAUUCUCUGCCGUUGCCGCUCUCUCCGUCGCCGCAGCUCUCUCCUGUCGUCGCCCUUCACCAAUGCUCUCGAUUUCGACAUCACCUUCGUCGUUGUCGUCUGCAGCAUCGUAUCAGCCAAGUGUGUUGAAGAUGCUACUAUAUAUAUCCUAAAUCGUUGUUCCUGUAACUUUUCCCUAACUUUGUUAUUCCAUUACAUUUUUGGUUUGUUUGUAAGUGAAUUGAUGAUAUUUAAAUAGAUUUUACCAUCAUGUAUUAUGCUGUUAAUAAAUUGAUUGAUACUUUAAAAUCAUAUGUGUAUUUUUUUUUUCAAACACACCAAUAUGUCCAUUGAUGCUGACCUUUAAUGAUUGUGCUUUCCACUUCGCUCUGUGUUUAUAAAUUGAAAAUAUGAUUGCGAAGUAUAUUUAGUUAUUCAACAUUCCUUACGUUCAAUUCCUUUAUCUUGCGCGGGUUCUGCUGUCAUUUUGGGAGCUUUUCUGGUGGUGCUGUGCAGGUUUUGGUGGUUUCAGGGUGCUGUCAUGGUGCUGUUGGCAGUUUAGUUGUUGGUUUCAGCUGCUGGCUGGCAUCUAUAGGGUUAGCGGUUGCAGCUGUUUGGAUCUAUAGCUUUGUGUUUUGCAAUGACUAUAAACAAAAGUCUGGGACAAUCACUUAAGCAAGUUGGCAUCUAUCCUCCACAGUCGGUCGUCUCACAUGGGCAGCUAUAUGUUGCAAUAUCACGUGUUACAUCAAGGGAUGGUCUGAAGAAAUUAUUAACGGAUGACAAUGGGGAUUGUAUCAGCACCACUUCAAAUGUAGUUUAUAAGGAGAUAUUCGAAAAUCUGUGACCCAAUAUUUUGUAUGCCCUUAAAUACUUUUUAUGUUUAUUUAUUUUAUUUUUUAUGUAAUGAAUAAUAUCGGAACUUUUUUAGCUUCUCCAUUUUUAAUGUCCCGGGCGUUAGCACGGGUAAUAAUCCUAGUAUUAUUAUACCCUAAUUUUAACCUAAUAUUUUCCCUCCAUCAUCAAAACAUUAAAUUCUCCUUAGUGCUUUUCCUAAUCAUCACUCAAGGUUCAAAAUCCAAAUUUCCCUCUCACACCACUUUUAGUCUGCCGAUGCAUGUACCCAAGGCAUAAGGAAAAUGGCAUAAGGAAAAUGACAUUUAAUAGCUACUACACUCAUUUCUCUGUUUCCAAGCUGCAUAUUCGUGUUAUCUAUGCAGCUUUUAAUCCACUCUCUUUUCCAUGUGUUAUAUAUGUACGUGUUUUGUUAAAUUUACACUCCAACUUUAUCAAUCAAGGUCGAUGCAUGUACAUGUAUGGCAUUUACUACCAUUCCCACUCCACUAUCUAUUCCCAACAUAUCUCUUAUAUCUUCCAUGUAAAUUAAUAUCCACCCUAUUUUCCAUGAAUAUAUGCAGUGCACUACAUGUUCUCUAUACAUACGUGUGUUGUUCUAAGAACUUCAUUUGCCUUUACCCUUCACACUUCACAUCUGUCACAUAUCUAUUACAAUCAUGGCUGAUUGGACAUAUAUUGAGGAGCUGAAGCCGGUUCUUUGUAGAAUACUUACAAAUCCAAUAGCAAAUGAGAGCUUCCUGUAAAAAAAAAAAAGUUUGGUUCUACAUUGUUUUGUGUUCUGUUUUUUCUGUUUCAACAUUAAUUGUUCUUUUUAACAUGAAUCUUUUUAUUGUUAAGAAGAACAUUCUAAUUGUUUUUUGAUCAAUUAUUUUAGAUUAGACCUAUUUCUCAUGUAUUUUUAUUCUUAAGAAGAAAUUCUAAUUGGUUUUUGAUUACUUUUCUUUAUCUUUCAAAUAGAAAUAAUACAAAGACUGGAAAAUAUUGAACCUGAUUUUAAUUGACUCCUCUUAUUUAUUGUUCUACCAUUCUACAUAAAAGGAACAGAGCUGAGAGCCAAAAUAAAAGUAUUAACACCUUGGGUUUAGUUUGUUUAUCAAUCUAGGGAUUUUCGUAUUGGGGUAAUUUUUUUUCCAGUGAUAAUUCAGUAGCAAUCUUAGUUUUGCAAAUGAUAAUUAUGAUAAAAGGGGUUGCAGGCACACAUUGAAGCAGUGCUAAGUUCACCACCAAGUUUACUUUCAAAAUUUUAAUUUUAGUUUGUUAUUUGCUAACGGUGUAUGUAAUUUUGGAAAGGCUUUGUUACUUUGCUGGCGUCAUGUGACAUGAUAUACUUUAUUACAAUCAGUUUUAGUUUUCUAUUUAGUAACUUAAGCACUUGAGCAGGGUUUAAUUUAGAUUUUUUGAGACAUAAAAGUGCUGAAAUUGAUUUGGACAAAUUGGAUUUGUAAUAUCUUACACAUUAUAGUAUUUUUGGUCCUUCAACUAUUCGUAUAUAUCAAAUAAAUAAUGCAAUUUAUUUUGUUAAGUUGAAGGGAAAUAUCCAAAUACAUAUAAUUUUUUUUAUAAUAAUGCAUAUUUGUAGCAAUGAAAUACUAUUGCUCCUCUCCAAAUUAAUUGAUUACAAAUAUCUAUGAUUCAUAUUCUCUAUAAAGGACUAAACUACCUAUACAUGUUUUGAUUAGAUUAGUUUUAUAGAGUGUAACUUUACACACUUUAUAUUAUUUUGGCAUAAGCAAGAUUGUGCACGGGUUAAUUUAAAAAGGGACAAUUUAUGAUAGAUAAUAUUGAUACUGAGUAUUUGGAAGAAUUUUUCUACUAUUAUAAAUCAUUAAUUAGUUUUAUCUCUAUAUGGUUUGUAUAAUUUUUGUGUCUAUGUUUUUAAUUAAUAUUGGUUGAUUUACAUAUACCUAAAUAUAAAAAAUUUAUAUUAAAUUUGUGCGUCACACGGGUCGGCGAUCUAAUUCUUGUUAUUCUCAUUGUGCACCUAGUGUAGCUGCGAACCUUAAUUUUAUUUUAUUUUUUGAGGGAGCUGCGAACCCUGAUUGAAUUCCUGCUUUUGUGCUGUUUGUUUUUAUUUUUAAAUCUCUGAGAAGAGUUCUAAACUUUUAAUCGAAUCUUUUUUCUUUGUGUUGCAUCCUGUGUGCUUUGAUUGACCUGUUGGGGCCAUUGACAUCAUAGACAGUGUACUAGAGUUGUUUUCUCCUCUUAAUUUGGUUCACCUCAUUUGUUUAAGAGGAUUUCUUUUUUCAUCUUCUAAAUCUGGGUUUUUUCUCACUUGAUUUAGUGCAGCUAUUAUGAACAAGAAAAAAAAAAAAAUCCCUUUUGGUAUAUAAAAGGUAGUUUUUUCCUUAAAAAAAAAAAGUAGCUUUGUUGCUUUCAUAAUACUUAAAAAUUGAGUAAAGACGUUGUAUCAUUGUCAUUAAUUUGUUUAGUUCCUCUCUAUUUAAUUGGUUGACCAACAGGGGCGGAUCUAGACAUUUCAUAUUAGUGUGGCAAAUUUUUUAAAGAAACUAUAAUACAAUUAUACUAAAAUUAAUAUAUAACAUUUUUUUACGGCAAAUAUUAUUCAUCGUCGAGAGGAUGUAAGACGCACCCACAACUCGCGGAAAAAACGACAGAAAAUACAAAAGUGACCGUAUAUAGGCGGCACACUUAAACACCAAAACCACUCGGUCAUGAUGCCGGAAUAUACAACAAGCAAAAUGUCAGCAUAAGUAUACCCCUGCAUCACAACCGAGCUCACCACCUAGCUGCACCAAAACAAAAUUUUGCAAGCAGAACCAAAACAACACUUAACAGCCCCUACCUAAACAGAACUAAAAAACAACACCUGCAACAAUGAAAAUUGUGAAAUUGUGAAACAACACAGGGAAGAAUUUCUUCAUCCUAUAAACACCAUUUUACAAUAAUCAAUUAUCAUAAACAAGCAAUUUUUAACUUGUAUUAUUAAUAAAACAAAACAAACAAAGCCAUAAAACUCGGCACCGACAGUAGCAAAAUAAACAAAGAAAAUGAUGAAUUGUUAAACUAGCAGAUACAGGUUGAAAUCACAGUUCACAUCACCCUAAAUUGAAUAUUGGAUGCAAGAGUAAUCAGUAAAAAACAUAUAAAUAAAAGGACUCAUAUACCUAAUUUCUUAAAAAUUUGGAUGACAAUGUGCUGCCUUAUCCAACCCAAUUUAGCCCCCCCCCGACCCCAAAAAAAAAAAAAAAUUCUUAACAAUAUGAUGAACUACUUUGUUAUCUUAAAAUUUAGUUUUUUUUUUUUUUAUGUCAUUCUCAUUACAUUUUUCUAUUUAAUCUCCAUCGUUUCAUAAUACAUCCUUUUUAGACAUUUUAAAAUGACAUGAGGGUUUUUAAUUUAGUCUAAUAUUUCGGUAAAAUAAUUACUCAAAUAUAUUCAACUUAUCAACAAACCCAUAAAUUCUUUUGUCGUCUUUUUUCUUUUUUUAAUUUCCUUUCUAUCUUCUCGUUAAAGAAAUGAACAAAAACCUCAUUUCAAAAAAUCAUCAGCCAACAAUUUUUAGCAUGUUGUGCUUCUGUAUGAUCUUAUUUGAAUAUGUCUCUAAAUCACAAAUGCAAAGAAUCUCAUACUUAAGGAGAGAUGUUAAUGUGUUAUAUGUGAGUUAAACUUCUAUAUCGGAUGCAAAAGUAGAUAUUGAGCAAGAUAAUUGAUAUAUCUAAUGCCUUAAGAUUUUGGAUGAAGAUGUGGUGUCAAUCUCACUUGUAUAAUUUCUCUUCGUCAAAUGUGAUGAUCCAACCUAUUGUAGGCUCCCUAAUAACUAUGAACAUUACGAUUAUAUGUUUUUUUUAUGUCAUUUUCUUAAAAAAAAAUAUAUUGAAUAUAACUUUAUUUAUGUCGUUCGAUUUUUUGGAUUUUUUUAAAUACUUUUACUUUUGCUCUUUGGUGGAAUUUGUCACUGGAAAAAUAUGUGUUAUGGAGAGUUGACAAAGUGCAUGUCUAUUACACAUUUUAACAUGAUGUGGUGUUUUUUUAUUGAGUCUAUUUUUCAGUGAAAUAAUUACUCAUAAAUUUCUAACUCAUUCAACUAACACAUAAUAUUACCACUAACUCACUCUACUCUUAAUACUUCCAUGGACAAAAUAUAUAUUGUUUUUUCUAUUAUCAUUUCUCUCUCAAUUUUUUUUUCUUCUUCAUAUCAUGAUGUGGUGUCAACGCGAAGGAAAAUAGUAACCAAUAUCAAAGUAACCACAAGAAACAACAACAAUAACAAAUCUAAAUCUAAUAUAGAAAUUAAGUGAAAAACACAAAACCACAAGCAAAAGAUAGAAGAGAAACAAACACACCAAAAAAUGUUUAUCCAUUUCGGUCCAACUUCACCUACUUUGGGGGAGAUAUUGAUCUCUCCAAUCCACUGUCAAUGAGUUCUUACAAAGAGAUACAAAAUGGUUACAAGAAAUUAGCUUCAACAAGCUCACAAAAACAAACACUAAUUUCUAUCAUUUUCCCAAACUCACUAAUCAACAAGACACUCAGUGAUUUUUACUCACCCAAAGUGUUUACAAAUGUUUCCCAAAUCAAGAGAACCUCUAAAAAAUAACCUAAUCAAAGACUUUCAACCCUAAAGUUAUCUCCUUUGAUUUCUCAAGUUUCUCUCUCUUGAAGCCUCUCUCCAAACAAUAAGAAUGAAGCCUUUUAUAGAGUUUUGAUCUUGAGAAAUCGUGCUCCGAUGACUCCAAAUCGGGCCACGAUUUUUGUCCAACCUUCAUUCAUAAGUUUUGAGACAAUUCUCAACAUAAUUCAAUCAUUUCUUAGGGGAGGGAAGUAAUUCAGCCGAGGUAUUUACUUUUCAAGUAUGAAUAUAUAUAUUUUAACAAGAGAGGGAAUGAAAAUAUAAUACAAACUUCUUUUAAGAGGGAAAUGCACUUCAGUAUUUUUUUUUCUUACCUACCAAUUGUUUGGAUAAAUAGAUCCUGAUAAUUUGUAGUUCGGUCCAGAUGUACCUAAAUUCUGGAGUGUAGUUUACUCUAGAUUAAUUAGAUGAUUUUUUUUCUUUAAAUAAAGGCUUAAAUGCUCUUUUGAUCCAUUAACUAUUUAAUUGGCAUCGCUUUGGUCCCUUAACUAAGAAAAAGAUUGUUCGAGUACUUUAAGUUUUUUUUUUAAUCUCGUUUUGGUCCCUUCUAUUAGAUUUCCGUUAGGGUUUAAAAAAAAGAAAGUUAACUUCUAGACACGUGUCACCUUGUCAUUGGCUCUGGGAAUUUUUUACAAAAAAAUAAAAUAUAUACAUUAAAAAAUAUUUAUUUUUUUAUAAAAAAAAUUCUCAGAGCCAAUGACAAGGUGACACGUGUCAACGCUUAACAUUUUUUAUUAAACCUAACGGAAACCUAACAGAAGGGACCAAAACGAGACUAAAAAAAAACUUAAAAUACUCAAACAAUCUUAUUUUAGUUAAGGAACCAAAGCGAUACCAAUUAAAUACUUAAGGGAACAAAAGAGAAUUUAAGCCUUAAAUAAAUCAUUCAUUUGACAAAAACAAACUACAUACUCCAAAAGAAGCCUUUAAGGGAACUUAUUAAUUUUUGUAAAAAAAAAAAAGUUAUUACUCUCCGUUUCAAAAUACAUGUCAAGUCAAUCAUUUCACAACAAUUUUGACCGUUAAUAUCUUUAAUUAUAUAAAGUAAAAAAUUAUAAAAAUUUAAUAUUUUGAAAAUAUUUUUCGAGACAAAUCAAACAACAUCUUACAUGCUAAUAUUUGUAUUUAUACAUUAGUUAAAAAGUAAGUUAAGUGAAUAGUGCACGUUGCAAAAAUUGAACAUGUAUUUUGAAACGGAGGGAGUAAAAAUUUAGAAAAAGUAUCGGGAAUUUUAUUAAAUUAUAAGAAUAUUUCAAUGACAAAAUCCUUUUCUCACGGAAAGAGAUAAAAUUAUGUAUAGUCAGAUUUAUCUAUACUAUAUAUAAAGAAAAUAGGGGGUUUUUAGAGAUUUUGAGCUGACUUAUUUGUUAUUCGAAUUAUACUCUUAAACAAAAUUUUCUAUAAUAAUAUUAUAUUGCUGAUGUUAUUAAAAUAGAUAAGAAUUUUUGUUAUAUUUGUUAUAUUGUUGUUGUCAUUGAAAAAUAAAAAUAUGAUUUGUUGAGAUUAUUACAUUUGAAAGUCACAAAUAUAUAUACUUAUAAUCUUAAUCUAUAUCAAAUAAUUUGUGUAAAACAUCGUUUGUAAUUUACACACAAAAUUUCUAUAAAGUAUUGUUGAUAAUCUACACGCGUACAAUAAAAAACGAAAAGACAGACACGUGAGUGUCCGUCUUUUUCGCUAGUUUGAAUAAAGAAUAUCUUGCAAUAACUUUUUUUUUUAUUAAUUCUUGCAAUAACUUUUUUUCAGUAAUUCUUGCUGUUACUUCUCGGUUAUAUUCUUUACGGAUAAUUUUCAUCAAAGUUAGCAAAUAAUCUUUUAUCCUUUAAGAAAACAAAUAAUCUUUUAUGGUUUUAUUUUUAAAUUAAUUUCUUUUACCGAAAAAUUAAUUUAGUUAUAAUUUUGAUAAAGAAUAUGUAACUUUUGCUUCUCAAUCAAGGUUUUUAUGGAUACCUUUCAUCUAAGUUAACAAAUAAUCUUUUAUGGCAUUAUUUAUUAAGUAAUUUAGUUUAUUUUGACGGAAUAAAUAGUUAAGUUAGAUAUAAUUUAGAUAAAGAAUAUUUUAUUUGAAUAUAGAAUAUCUUGCAAUAACUUUUUUUAUUGAAUCUUUGCAAUUACUUCUCAGAUAAGUUUUUAUGGAUAAUUUUAAUCAAAGUCAACAAAUAAUCUUUUAUCCUUUAAAAAAAGCAAAUAAUCUUUUAUGCUUUUAUAUUUUAAUUAAUUUCUUUUACCAAAAAAUUAAUUUAGUUAUAAUUUUGAUAAAGAAUAUGUAACUUUUGCUUCUCGAUUAAGGUUCUUAUGGAUACAUUUCAUCUAAGUUAACAAAUAAUCUUUUAUGGUAUUAUUUAUUAGGUAAUUUAGUUUAUUUUGACGGAACAGUUAAUUUAGAUAUAAUUUAGAUAAAGAAUAUUUUAUGGUUGCUUCUCGGUUAAGUUUUUUAUGGAUACUUUUCAUCUAAGUUAACAAAUAAUAUUUCAAUUCAAAAACAUAUAAUAUUUUAUAGUAUUAAAAUCAAGCACUAAUAAAACAUGUUUUUGCCUAUAUAUGCGAUAUUCAUCUUUCGCUUCUCUUAAAAGUUUUUAAUUUUGCCAUCUCCUCGACUUUGCUUGAAUUCCUCAUUUUCACUCUCACACUUCUUGCUCCGAUCAUAAAAAUCUCCUUGCCCGCUGUUUACACAAUUUCAGUCAAACAUGGGAAAACCCAUGAAUAUGAAGCAUGGAAAGGUUAGGACCCACAUACCUCAUGAUCUUGCAUUAUGCAUUCUGUCAAAAUUACCUGUAAAAUCUUUAAAGAAAUUUGGAUGCGUACGCAAAUCAUGAACCCUUUUGUUUGAGAACCAACAUUUCAUGAACAUCUUUUGCAACAAUUUCAUAUCUCAUAAUCAUUCUUACUACAAUGAUACAUCUAUCAUUCUACAAUCCAGUAAUAGAGAUUUUUAUUCCCUUUCUGGUGAUAAGUGUGAGAAUAUGGUCAAAUUAAAUUUUCAAAAUCCUUUUCAGGAGGAUGACCCUUUAGGUUUUGUUUUGGAUUCUGGUAGUAUUACUGGAAUUCUUUGCGUCUACCAAUAUCAUAAUGGAAAAACUGCCUUUUGGAACCCAACACCGGAGGAAUUCAAGAUCAUUCCUCCAAGUCCUUUUCUUUUUAGAUCACCUUAUCAAAAGUUUGUAGUUAAUCCUCUUGGGUUUGGUUAUGAUAUAGUUAGAGAUGAUUAUAAGUUGAUUAGGUGUGUAGGUUAUUUUAACUUAGAAUACGAAGAGUGUGAAGAACUUGGUAUUUCAUGGAGUGAUGCGCCAUGGAAAGAUUUAUCUUAUGAAUACUUAUGGGAGAUAUAUAGCCUUAAAAGUAACACUUGGAGAAAACUUGAUGUUAAUGACUCUGCUUGUUCAUGUUUUUCUAACAUCGCUGGUGUACGACUAUACACGAAUGAAAUGUGUCAUUGGUGGCAAUAUGGUAAAAAGUAUGAUGGAGUAGAGGUGGAAUCAUUUGACUUGAGAAAUGAGGUGUUCUUUACAACACUUGUACCCUUAGGCGAUGUAUAUUCUAAGUCGUUAUACAUGGUGGGGUUAAAUGGCUCCAUUGCCUUCAUCUCAUGGACCUCUGGUACAACUACUUUUGACAUUUCAAUUUUGUGUGAAAUUGGAGUAAAAGAAUCAUGGACUAAACUAUAUAGUAUUGGACCAUUUUCUUGCAUCGAGCAUCCUAUUCCUAUCGGAACAUGGAAGAAUGGUUUUGUAUUUUUCAGGACCAAAGACAAUGAAAUUGUUUUGUAUGAUUUACAAUCCCAGAUGAUAGAAGAGCUUUGCAUUGAAGGAGAGCAUUUUAGUCAUAUAUUACCUUAUAAGAAAAACCUUCUUUCUAUUGGAGGAAUAAAUCAAUAACUUGUUUGUUACCCAAUAUAUUUACGCUUAAGCUUAUUUUUUAAACAGUCCAAGAUUAUACUUCUGGUUAUUAAGAUUUUAGAGUUUUGGACUUACUGUAUGAACUCUAGUUUAUUGUUGUAAUAGCUUAAUUUUGGGCACUUUACAAUUUAAUUGGAAAUGCAUAGUUUUAUUUUGGGAGUUAGAAAUAUAUAGUUGAUAGUUCUGUUAUUUUCUUCUCCUCAAAAGAAAUAAUAAUUUGGUGAGUAUUAAUUGGACUAGAGGGUGGUUGAUGAAGAUAUUUGAAGUUUCCUUUUUAACCAAAGAUUUUCACACAAUUGAUGGUGUUUAUUGUUAUGAUUCUGGAGAGGAACGUGGUUGAGAUACACUGAAAUAAAGUAUCGAGCAUGACUUAAGUCAAGAGGGCUUACGCCCACCUUAUGUCAUAUUUUUUUUGAAGGAGUCUUAUGUCAUAUUUUUUUUUUUUUUUUUUGGUAGAUAGACGAAAUGACAAAGCCAUUAUAAACUCACACACACAAGUGGAGGUAUCGGGGUUCGAACCCCGGUCAUGGCAUCCGGCCUAACAAUUUCGGUAUUUUGCCAGUUGAGCUAGGACUUCUGGAUGCCUUAUGUCAUAUUUUAUUAAGCUAUCACUGUGAUUCUCAUGUGCAAUAGCAUAUGUUGUGUAACAUUGAGAUGAUUAUAUAAAAAAAAAAAAUACGAAUUCCUUCAAAAUAUAUAUAUAAAAAAAAAAAAAACAAUUAAAUUGUAAAAUUAUUAUUUUUUUAGUCAAACAUUGUAAAAUAUUUAAAAGUAUUAAAUAAAAAUGAUCAAACGCAAUGUUGAUAUCGAAAAGGAAAGAACUUAUUGAGCAUAAUAGCUUAUAACUUAAUCGCUAAUGCUAUAAGCUCUUUACAUCAUAAGCAUUUGUGUAAGGUGGUGUAUAUGCAAACGGGCCAAAAUCCCAUUUUCUUUGGCGGGAGACAUGGAAGAAAAUGACCGGAACGAAGAAUCCGAUUCUGAUAAUACAGCCACUAUGACUAUGAGUACAAUUUCUCAGCACAAUUUCAACGACGACUCUGAAACUCUCACUAUUUCCAUUAUCGAGGUCCUCAACUUCCACUUCCCAAAUUCGCAUUUUCUCACGCCGAAAUCUCACACUAACAAACACUCUGAUUUUCCACACAGAAUAUGAGCGAGGAUUACGGCUUAUACGUCUGGCCUUCUGCUGUAAUUCUCGGCGAGUAUAUUUGGCAAGAAAAGCACCGAUUCUCAGGAGCUAACGUUGUUGAGGUGUGUGUGUGUGUGUUUUUUUUUUUUGUUUGAAAUUUGUGAUUAUUUGAAGUUUAUUGUUCAUGCUUUGUAUUUGUUUUCAUAUGUCGCUGUAGCUUGGUGCUGGAACUUGCUUACCUGGUUUGGUUGCGGCAAAAGUUGGUGCCAAUGUCACUCUUACUGAUGACUCCACCAGAUUAGAGGUUUUCUUCUUGUUUAUUUAGUUAGAUAAUUUUGAAAUUAGGAAGUGUUUGGAAAGUCUUGGAGGUUAAUUUAGUUUGUAUAAUCAUCGGUAUUUAAGAUUUAAAGGAUAUGGAACAUAGGUGUAAAUUAGUUUUGCACCGAAUAGAAAUUAUGUUCUCGUAGCUACAUUUUAAAAGUGGUGAUAUGAUAUGACAAAAUAGCAGACUCAUAUUGGAUAUCAGACGUGUAAAACUACUUAACUACACUGGCAGGCAGUGUAUGCUCAUUAAACUCGUGUUCUUGUCUUUCGAUAAAUUUAUAAAAUCACAUAUUCGACAUGUCCAUAAGCUUUAGUAAGGGUUUAAUCAAGGUGUAUGUUUACCAAACAUGUACCGAGUGUAGCUCUGAAUCCAACUGUUUUCUGGGAUUGUCAAUGUGACACAAUGGUUUCAAAGGAUUUAAAGGACAUGCAGUGUCGGUGUAACUAUAAAUUAGUUUUACACUGGUGUCCAGUGAAAAUUCAUUAUUUUACCACAUUACUCUAUUCUUGUAACUACAUUUUAAAAGUGGUGAUGUGUGUGGCAAUAUAGAGCUAUGAAACACCAACACAGACAUUAGACACGGCACUGACACGUUGACACCAAUAGUAAUUUGAAAAAAUGGCAUAAUAGAAUGUAUCAUAUGUGUCGGUGUCGAACACAGACACUUGUUGGACACCGAAAACCCCCUUUAAUCAGAAAUUUCGGUGAUACGCAGAUAUAGAGGGUUCGUAUUGAAUGUCAGAUAAAACUACUUUACACCGUGAGCCCAUUAACUCUAGUACUUAUCUUUCGAAAAAUUUUGUUUAUAAAAUCUCAUGUUUGGUAUGUCCAUAAGCUUUAAUAAGAGUUUAAUUAAGGUGUGUAUGUUUACCAAAGGUGUACUAAGUGUUGCUUUGAAUCCAACUGUUUUCUGGGUGUGUCAAUAUGACACAAUGUUCUUCUAUUUUCGUUAGUAGUAUUUAUCAUUUGAUUAUCUAAUGAGUAGAUUCUGAAAAUUGUAGAUCUUUUAAAUGACUGCUGCUUGUUCUGGACUUGCAGGUGCUUGAUAACAUGAGAAGAGUUUGCGACUUGAAUAAACUUGAGUGCAAUGUAAGUAAUGAAGCCUGUUGAAAAAAUUUGCCUUUUCAUUUUAAUAUUAGAAUUAGAUUAGCACUGUGUCUAUAUAUCAUGGAUUUUCUGAAAAGUGAUUAUUAAACAAUGAUUGAUGUUGAAGUUUUUAUCUGUAUCAUGCUUGUUUGUGUUGUCUGAAUGUAUUGGCUUCUAUUUGAAGGUGCUAGGACUGACAUGGGGAGUUUGGGAUUCGUCCAUAUUUGAUUUACGACCUACAAUUAUUCUAGGCGCUGACGUGUUGUAUGACUCAAAUGGUGAGAGAAGGAUCUGUUUCAGGUCUUUGUACCUUCCUUUUUGGAUUUGAUGUACUAAAUCAUUCUUUCUUUUAUAUUAUUUAGCUUUUGAUGACCUCUUUGCCACUGUGACAUUCCUGCUCCAAAAUUCACCUGGAUCAAUUUUUAUAACUUCAUACCAUAAUAGAAGGUACUUUUCAUUCUCAGUGAUGCUCAAAACUUGUGAAACAACUUUGUCUUUACUUUUCAUUCUGCAUCUUAUAUUUUUUUUUUUUUAAUAUUUUCUUAACUUAGCCAUGUAACCUUUUGCAGUGGGCAUCACCUUAUCGAGUUCUUGAUGCGAAAAUGGGGGUUGAAGUGUCUCAAGCUUCUUGAUGGAUUUUCUAUCCUACCAUCCUUCAAGGCUUCUCAGCUAAGUGGUAACAUUCAAUUGGUGGAGAUAGCUCUAACAUCGAAAGAUAAUGCUUGAGGUACCUCCAAGUUUUAUGAUAAAAUUUAGGAGUGUCUGUAUUUUUAGGCGAUGUUGCUGCUAUUUAUGUUUUUUUGUUGUUGUUUAUCAAGCAAUAGAAUAGGACUUGAUUGUCUUAAAAGAAUACCUCCUAAAAUGGAUAUCGUACUUCCAUGCUAUACAUACAUUUGAUGAAGAAAAAACAUACCUAAUUCCUUUUUAUUUCAUCGUUGCUUGAUGUUAAAACAUGGUAGCAACUACCAAGCAGCAAACUUUUUGGAUGGGGCGGUUUGGCACGCAUUAAGGAGUUUUCUAGCAUUAUGUAUUUCAACUGCUUUAAAAAUUAUAUUUGGGCUUGAUUUGAUUUGCUCUUUGGAAUCACCAGGUAUUUUAUUAUACAGUAACUGAAAAGAUGUUUACAAUGUUGAUAUUUGCUGUGCUAUCAAAUGGUCAUGCUUAAAACCCUUACGACGUUUUUGAAUUGUUUUCAAAUGUUGAGUUUUGCAUUGUUUUUUUAAUGGAUUUUUUUUUUUUUUAAUGGAGUUGAGUUUUGCAUUGUUAACUGUUAUCUCAAAUCAUGGCCUAUGGUAGCAAACAUUUGUUGGCCAUGUUCUUGAAAAGACCGAUAUCUUACUUUUUCCCAUGAAAAAUCGAAAAUCACCACUUUGAGAAGCAGGGCUCGUGGGCUGAACGAAACCUUUUUUGACUUGUUACUUGAGAGUUAAGACUACUUAUAACUAUAUUUCUAAAUUGAUUUGCCAAGACAAGUUUGAAUUUUUAUAACACUGAUAUAAGAAUACAUAUCUCUGCUUCUUAAAAAGCAAAAAAAGAAUACAUAUCUCUAUAAAUGAAAACACACAAUUUUAUUACCAUCUUCAAAAUGUGAUUCACCACUUUUCACACAAUAAUUUGUCUGAAAUAUCAUAAUUAACUUCAACUAAAUUAAGGCUUUUUAAUUGAUCUUUCUGCAGUCCUUCCUAACUUCUUGCCCACCAUUGAUACUACUCAUUUUUAUCAUGGACUUGGCAAAAGCAUCAAAGAAAGCCUUUUGUGAGGCGGCAAACUUAGAAACCAAUUGCUUGGUCUUUGGGCUGUCAAGCAAAGCCUGAUCAGAAGAAAACAAGCCUUUUUGUUGGAGGAUCAACUUGUAAUAUGUAUUAUCGAAAUUUGUUGCAGAAGGGUCCAUAGUGGUGCCAGCAUUUUUGGCCUUAUUUUUCAACGGACAAAUUGAUUUUAGUUUUGCUGCAAAUGAUUGAUGUAACGAAGGGUCCACGUCAUGUGUAGCAUUAAAGUUUUGGAUUCUGUUCUGGAAAGAUGAGCAGUGAGAGAAGCCUAAGGUAUGCCCUCCUACAUAUGGGUCAAAACAUGUUACUUCAAACUCCAUUAAGAUAUAAAUGAAAGCAUGAAAAAUGGUGAAGUUUUGAUGUUUUUUAACUUUAGGAAUAGCUUACCUGACAGAGCUACCAAGUCUUCCACAGACAAUGCUCUUUGUGAGAAGCUUUGCUGCAGCUGUGAUAUGUUGAAUGUUGGUGCUGGUAAUUGUCUUGUUUCACUGGCCUUAGAUGUUCUUCCAUCUUUUCUUCCUUUUGGAACAUUCCAUUUAGGUCCUCCAGACUGUAGAAUAUACAUAGAUGUACCAUCAGUUAUCAGUUGAAACUUACAAAUACAAGUUUCCAUAUCUACAUGUUUCAAUUCUAAAGUAAACAGCAUAACAGAGUCUCAAUGAAAGAGAGCUUUGGUUCUUGGCUUUGUUUUAUUACCAGAUAAACUGCGUCCCUUGCUGCGAGAGCAAGAAUAUCAGCACAAGAAACUACACCAGGGCAUUUAGCUUCUAAUGCUUUCUUUGCUUCAUCAAUGACAUAGAAUGCAUGCAAUGAAAUGUUUGGCGGUCCAUCCUUUUCUGCUUUGUUUUUUCCUUUUGAAUUUAGCAGCACAGAUGCAUCACACCCCUUCAAAAGUAUAGGAAAAAACGACACAUGCAAAUGAAAAAUCAAAUUUAUAGAUGGUGUGCGGGAAAAGGAAACAGAAAAGGAAAAAAACAAUGUCAAGAAGAAAGGAGUUCAAUAUAGCAAUACUCGAACGAAGCAAUCAUGGAAGUGCAUUCGGAGAAGUGCUGCUGGAACAGUUUUGUCCCUAGCAGUAGCAUCCGUCACAGUCUUCAAAACUAUAUACUCCAGAUCAUGGCAUGAUUUUUCAUAGUAGUUUAAGCUGAGUGAUUUUCCUGUAGAAACCACUGAAAAAAUGAUAAUCAAAUUCAAGAAUGUAACCAUGACAGCCAUGUCAAUUAAGAGUACUUUGAUUAUUUUUUAGCUGUUGCUAUCUGUGGAAAUCAAAGAUGAGUUCAAUGGGUUUUUAAAGGGGUAAAAGCUUAAUUAUUAGAUGAGAUAAUGUGGCCCUAGAAGACUAGUUCGUUAACUAGUAUUGUCAAAGAAGUAGUAAUGUUUAAGCAUUCUCAUCACAAACAGACAAUUCACUUUAUGCUCCAAACUAAGGAAGGUUCAAUUGUUCUGGUGUAAAAUGUUACUAUUUUUUUUUUAAGCGAGGUGGAAUUUGACGGCGUAGAGUUUUUACACUCAUUCAGAAUAAAUUAAUUAGAUUAGAUUAGAUGAUACUCUAACUGAAUCUAAUGUUUUAGUAAAACAACAACUAAAUCUAGUGUUAAGCUAUGAUUGCAUGGUCUUCAUGAGUACAAUAAGAAAAGGUCAUUCCCCAUGAUAUAUUAUUAUUAGGAUUCUUUGAUUAUUACAGAUAUUUUUGGCAGUGUCCUAGUGUGAGGAGUGAAUUGUUUUAGUUUACUGUAAGUUUUUAUUUUUAUUUUUAAAGUUUGGUGAUAACAUUUAGUUUUGACCGAAAUUGAGGUUAGUGGCCACGUUCUAUUUAUUCUACUUUUUACAUGGUGCAGGAAAGUAUUAUUGUUAUUUAACUUUAGUUUUUCCAAAGCUUAUAUUUAUUAUUUAAAUUUUUGCAAACAUUUUGAAUGGAGUGGGAGGGGAAUGCUUUGAGAGAAGAGGAGGAGAGAAAAAGAGAGGAAAAUAUUCCACCUUAUUUGAGAGUGUUUUUUUGUGUAGAGAAUGAAAAAAAUGUUAAUGAUUAAUAUAUUUUUAAGUUUAAGAGUAUGAUAAAUGAAAGCAAUCAGGCUCUCUAAAACCUUAAAAAUUUUUACUCUAGUGCAUUUUUUUCGAGUUCCAACAUAUUAAAGAAAUUUUGUAUUACAAAGAAAAAUUAACCUCCUAUUGACGAGACUACUGUUAAUUUUUUUUUUCCUUCUCUCCUUCAUUUUUCACAAAGUCGUUCCCCUCAUUGUUGAGAGAUGGGAAAAGAGCACCCUACUAUUUAACCAAAUCAAGCAAUAUAUUAUGCAUAUACUCAUUGCUUUUACUAGAUACCACCCUCUCCGUUUCAAAAUGAUUUUGUUUAAGGUUUUUAAACUAACCUUAUUUAAUGUUUUGGAAGUAUUGUAUACUCAAUUAAUUAAAAUAUAUUUUGAAGUAAAAUAAUAAUUCUAUCUUAAAAAAUAUAAGUGACAUUUAUUUUAAAACAAUUUUUUUUUGUUAAAGCGAUACUUAUUUAAACGGAGGGAGUAGCAAAGAAUAACGCUCCUCAAAUAUGUAGGAGGAAUGUAUGAGGUGGUUAAGACCGAGCCAUCGUAAUUUUGUUUUGUUGCUGCCAUUGCUUGCAGUCCAAGUCUUUUUAUCAUGUUAUAUCAAAGCUUUAAUUAUUGCAGUUGUUUGUUUUUCUGUUGAUGUAGGUUUCUAGUUAAAAGGAAUCUAAUUAUUGAAAUCCUACUUUAUGUCUGAACAGUUUGGUGAUUUCACAAAAUGUAUACCAUAAUGAAAUUUUCUUCUUCGUUUUAGAUGAAAAGUAGCUAUCGAGUCGGUGCUGUUAUUUGCAAUCAUGUGCUUUUUAGGACCAUUGGGUACUGUUGGUUGACUUGUGAAUUGAAAAUGCAAACAGGUUAGUUGAUUGUGUUUCUGAAUAUGGUCGAUUAAGAUCAGAGAGAUGAUUAUUGGACAUCAAAAUUUUGAUUCAAAUAUGAUUAUUCUUUUAAAUCUUAUGUAAUUUUUUUUAUGUGUAUAAUUUAACAGAGGUAAACACAUCCAUAUACUCUAUCAUGUUCAAGAGUUUGCAAGGAAAGUUAUUUUGAGUUGGGUGAAUGUUCGUGUCAAUUAAAAUUAACUUUUUGUGUUACGAUGAAGGUGAUGAAGUUUGAACUUAGGAUUCGUGUAGGCUAUUCAAAUUAAAUUUAAGUUAUUUGAUUUAAUUUGAUUUAUUUUUUUAAAAUAAAAAAAUAGUUCACUGAGCCACAACAAACACAAAUUUGCAUUUGAAAACUGACAAAUAAAAAAUAAACCAUUAAUUUGGUUCCUUAACUAACACUCCCCAAUUUAGUUUUUGAAUUAUAUAAAUAUAAUAUAUAGUUUCUAAACUAUCUUCAAUCCAUCAACUUAGUCCCUAUAUCAUUAUUGCUCUCUUAUUUUGAAAGCCGACGAGUAAUAUUUCUAUAGUCUUAGGGUUCAAAUUGGUGAGAGAUUAUAGUUUAGAGAUCAAAUUGAUGGUUUUUUCAACAAAUAAAUUAUGUGAUCUAAAUAUAAUAGAGAUCAUAAGAAUCCAAAGACAAAUUAUGUGGUAUAAAACUAUGCUGAUGUGCUUUUACAUUAUUUACAACCCUAUCAAAUCAAAAUGCUAUCAAGACUCCAGGAAAAAAAAAGGUAUAGAAAUAAUGCUUCUCUCUCGUGUAUUCUGAAAAAAAAAAUUACUAAUCUAAAUAAUACAGCACUUGACAGCUAAAUCUAUGCUAAAAAAAUUGCUAAAAGCAGGAUAAUUGCCACUGUAAAUGCUAAUGCAGGUUCUUUCUUAAAUGAGUGACUAGAUGGAAGCCUUUGAGGACCAUUUGAAGGGUUAGAUUGUAUUUCAGGAUUCACCGCCAUAGCAGGAGACACGGCUGGGGCGUGCGAUCGGUUAACAGGUAAACUCGAGAGUUCAUCAUCAUAACCUGAUAAUAACAUAACAUAAUUUCUCAUUAAUAACUAAUGGAAAGUUAAAGGAAGAUAUAUAUUUUGAAAUACAAAGGGUAUGAAUUGUACUCACAGUUAGAUUCCUUCCAACCCAGAGUCAUGUUCUCGCGAUCAAAGACUAUCCGGUAACCAGUCAUGAAGUUUUCUGCAUGAAAAUAAAUAUAAUAAUCAAUGCUGCAAUUACGACACUCUUCAUCACAAAAUCAAACACAUACUUAUUAAAAGCUUCAAUUCAAUUAAAAUACUUACGUCCAAUGAUAUUCACAUUGUUGCUUUUCAAAACAGCCAAACAAAGAACACCAUUGUUACCCUGGAAUGAAUACCAUAAGAAUCAUUUAUAAGGUUAAGAGAAACGAAAAACAUUAGUUAUCAAUUUCAUGAACUAAAAAGUUAUAUUUCAUGCUCUCACCCCGCCACUUGUUAUUAUCGGGUCCAUGACAAAAUAAUUGUCUCCACCUUUCAUCGUCAAGUUAAUAUUGGGAACUUCAAUCGUCUGGUUUGUUCUGCAAACAAAGUUGAAAUCUUAACAAAUUUGCAGCUGAUACACUUUACAGAUGGUAGAAUAAGAAAAGAUGAUUACACUGAGUGUAUGAUACACUUUACAUAGUGAUUGUAGCUAAACUAACAAAUCUUAACUAAUGUGCAACUAAUACUAUCCAACUUGUAACUAACUUAACAAACUUCAAUUAUACCGAAAAUAUCUCCAACUACAUCCAACAAUCAGUGCUUGGUGUGAUUAAUUUGAAAUUAAAAAGAAAAGAAAUCUUUCAAGCUAUAAACUAUAAUCACCUUAAGUCAUAGCAGUACUCAAAGGGAAGAUCAUCAGAAUUAGAAAAUGAAUGCCUUUGUAGCUUAAUUUUUGAAUCAAACUGCAAAAACAAUGGAAUAAUUAAUUAAUAAGAACUCAAGUGGAAUGAAAUGAAAUUCCAGUUACCUAUUUAAAAAAGUUAUAAUAAUUAAUUAAGAAUACUGAUACUUACACUUUGAGUAAUUUGCUUAUAAGCCGGGUUGUUUAGGUAUGUAAAUGAGGUGCCAGUGUCGAAUAUUGCAUUGAACUCCAGAUCAGCGGAAUUUCCUCCCACAAUAAUUUGGGUGACAGUGAUGUUGUAAGUUGAACUGCAAAAAAAAUGAUAAUGUUAAAAGUUAAAACUUCAAAUACACAGUGCUUCUGAUAUAAACCUUUCAGAAAAAUAGUUUAAAGAUAGACCUUUGAGGUUAAUUUGGUAUAGCAGGUUAAUCAAUUUUUUUUACUUCAGAAACCUUAAUGUUAACCAAGCUGCUAAAAACAUAAAUGAAGUCUAAGAAAUAUAAAUAUACAAUAACCACUUACUGCGACGGCCUAAUGUUGAAUGGUGUUUUUCCUUGGUCCAAGCUACUAUUAUUAUCCCCAAAUGUGAUUCUUCCAAGGCCAUCAGCAGCAAAACACAUUGAAAAAGAAUUUGAAGUUAGCCCUUGUUUGGCUAAGAUACUUGGAACAGAUACAUCACUCAUUCCUAGUCCAAACAGACCAUUUGGAGCUGCCCCAUCCAGAAAAGCCCCUGUUUGAACUUGUCCACAACUGCAACGCAUUCAAUGACAAACACAGAUGUUAAAAUUGCCAACAAAAAAAAGCAAGUCCAGAAAAAUAUUGUAUAGUUAAACUGGUGAUGGAAUUUUAGAGAACAAAUACGACACUCCUCUAUAAUUUCGUUACAAAAUCCAGUGAGGAAUAAGUGAUAAUAAAUUUCAUUUUUUCUGUUUCUAAUUUAAGUGCUUAAUUUUAAUUUUCCUACAGUAUAAUGCAAGAUAAACAACAAUACAUUCUGAAAAUAUUUAUAUAUGUAUGCAUGUAUAUUCAAUACAUUUAAUCCUUUACCAAAAAUAAUGUUCAAUAUAUAACUGAGUAAGAUGUUAAAAAUUUACCCAAAAGUAAUUAGUGGGUUAGCAUGUUGAGUUUGAUCAUCAUUAUCUGUAAUUAGGUGCAACACAUCCUCUACCAAGAAACCAGUAGUUGAAGUAUUUUCUGAUAGAUAUUCAACUUGAUAUGGACAAGUGCCACCAGAUGAUGAAGAGCACUGUGUCUUCUGCUCACAUAAGCUGCUAUUGCAGGCCACAUUUUUGCUAGUGGAUGAUUCUUUGUUAUCAUAGAUAUUAAAAGCAAUUUUCUGUUAAGUAAUACAGAAAGUGUCAUUAAAUUCAAAUAGUAGAGAUGAUAUAACAGCAGUAGUGGAAGAUUUAACUAUAGUAUAGUUUUGAUACAUAUAUAGUAAGAUUUUGAUAAAUGCAAUUUAGUAUACCUGUCCUGUUGAUAGCUGUAUACCAUGGACACAUUUGGUACAAUUGCAAGGGAGCCAGAAUAAGUCACUCCCAGUAUCUAAUGCAACAAGAUAUGAUGAAGCUGGUGUCCCAACAGAAACAUUUGCAAAAUGCAAACUGAAAUACAAACCAAGAGAAGAAAAUAAGCAAUGAAUAAUCACUCUACAUAUAUAUACACUAUUAUCAUCCACAUCAAGAAUGCAUAACAAAAAGGCAAAACCCAUCAAGUAUUUUUAGAUUCAUAUUGAAUUUAGAAAAACAAAAGAUACAUGACACACAUAUGAUUUUCCAUAACCCAAAAAAUGAAAAGAAUAAUCAAGGGAGCUGUCUAAUAUGUACCUCCCAUUAAACUAAUGGAUUUUGAGUCAAAGAAAAAACACUAAAUUAGAAUUUUAAACUAAUAAAAAAGGGAAAAAAAUGUAAUAUUUCAGUAAUCUUACUAAAAAACAGUAAGAUUUUUUUGAACAAGCCAAAAUGGAAUUAAUAACCAUAAGUGAUUCAUCUCGCACAAAGUGUGCAAAAGAGAAUCACUUAAAAAAGAUACAAUAUCAGUUCAUCGGUGCCACAAUACCCGACACCAUGAUUACUAAACCAAAACAAAGAAGAUUACAUGUAAAUACCCAUACAAGACAUAGGGUGUUGCCACCAGUCAUGGUAACUGAAAGCAAACGAAUGCAACCUAGCUUUAAGCCACUGGAAUGAGAGUAAUUUCACUUUGUCAGAUAUCAUCCUAAUUGAUGUAGCCUUCUGAUUGAAAGGUCCAUAUUAAAUAUAUUUUUUCGAUAGACAAAAUGACAAUAGCCACCUAAAAUUCACACAUAAAUGAAUGAAUUACUACUCCGUCCCUAAUUAUAAGACCAUUUUAAAAAAAAAAAAAUUGUCCCUUUUUAUAAGACCCCUUUUCUAUUUCCAACUACAUUAAUUAUUUCUUUACAUACAUGUCCCUAUUUAUUAUACAUCUUUUUCUUCAAUCAACAAUAAAUAGAAUGUUGAAAACAUAAGCCAACCCUCUUUCUUAAAGGAUAAAAUUGUAAAAACAAUAGUAAUUACAAACAUAUUUAAUACAAAUAUCCACUAUUUUAAUUCCCGUUAUUUUUUCAAAAGGGCCUUAUAAUUAGGGACGGAGAUAGUACUAAAUAACAAUUGUCAUUGAAAAUCAUACACACAAAUGGAGGAGUUGGGUUCGAACCCCAUCCAAGUGUUCAAACAUAGCAAUUUCAGCAUUUUUGCUGAUUGAGCUAAGACUUACACACAAUUUUUUAUUUUGUACAAAUUUCGGAGACUAUAGAUACCAAUUUUUUUUGUUGACAGAAGAAAAAAUUACCAAUUUAAUCUCUUAAAUUUAGGCAAUAUACAAUGAAAAUGAUAUUUGUACAACCAUUUUAUGACAACUUUAUCUUUUUAUUGUUUUGGCUUUCGUGUCAAUACAUAUUUUUUCUUUGUAAAUCUAAGGUUGUCCAUAAGUUGCCAACAAAAUGGUUGUUAAUAUAACACAACUCUUAUACUACAUCCGUUUCAAAAUGAAUGUUGUUUAAGGUUUAAACAUAUAUUAAGAAAUACAUUAAUUAAAAGAAAGAUAAUUUUAUUUUACCGAAUUAUCAUAAUCAACUAUUGAUUUUGUUUUGAGUUUUUCUACUUGCACCCUAGUUAAUCAUGGUUGCACCCCAAAAUGACAAGAUUACCCUUUCAUAAAAUUUGAUUUUCAAAAAGCCUAUUCCUUCUUUUUUGGUUACACCCCAAAACCCUUCUUCCAAAACCAUAAUUCUCCAAUUGAUCGAUUGUGUUCUGCGAAGAUUUUCAAAACCAUACUUUCUCACGUCCAUUCAUGAUUUCAAAGAAAAUUCGAAGCAAAUCAGGUUAGCAAGUGUUGUUCUUCAAUCGAUUGUGUUUUUCUUGUUAUGGGUUCUCAGUUCUGAUUUUGUGUUUUCCUUGUUCUGCGAUUUUGUAAACUCAGUUUAAGUAGGUUCAUGUAAACUCAGUUUAAGUAGGUUCAUGUUAACUCAAUUUAAGUAGGUUCAUGUAAACUCAGUUUAAGUAGGUUCAUGUAAACUAAGUUUACAUGAACCUACUUAAACUGAAUUUAAGUUAACCUUGCCAAUGUAAAUUAAAACCGUAAUCGUACAGUGCAUCAUUGCAGUUGAAGGAAAAAAAUUGAAACUAGCAAAUAGAAGAAGAAAUUCACUUACUUAUAUCCAAUUGAGUAUAGAUGAAAAAUAUUUUGAUUCACUCUUUAAUUUUCAUGGAGAUUGAUAUUGAACAUCAAAUUAUUUGAUCGAUCGCUUUGUGGGGUAAAAGAGGGUGAAACUCACUGACAAUGAAUAAAAUUAGGGUUCUAAGAAAAUUUAUAUAAAAGGGCAAUUUUUGUAUUAUAAAAAAAUUUAAGAAAAUUUGGGUGUAACCAGAAAAACAUGGGGUGUAAAUAGAAAAUAUUAAUUGAAUGCUACAAAUGAAAAGAAAAUUUUAUUAUUGCAUUGAAAACUGAAAGUAACAUUCAUUUUGAAACAAUUUUUCUUGACUAAAACGACAUUUAUUUUGAAAUGGAGGGAGUACAAUUUAGUGUGUAUAUGAAUGAAAUAAAUAAAAUUUUAAAAUAAUUAUUUUGACAAAAUAAUCUUCAAUCAAAUUAGUCCUUUUAAAUAAAUUUAUUCAAUUCCAAAAAUUAUCUAAAAUGGAAAAGAAAUAAUGUAAUUAAAGGCUAAAGAUUUGGUCUCUAGAUCACAUAAAGAAUUCAGAUACUCUCUCUCUCUCCCCCAAUCUUUUUCUUUCUAAAAAGAAGUAUCCCAUGUGAUUCUAUGAACUUUAUUCAUGUAACAAACACAAACAUAUGUGGUUGCUAUGUCAAAAGAACAUCAUAAAAUAUAUGAACCAGAAAAAAGAUGAAAUUAAAAUAUAACAAAAAAUUAAAUAGUGGUUGAAAAAACACUUACUAUCCAAACAAACUAAUCUGGUAGGUGGUGUUAUCUGGAGAAAACGUAAGAAGCUUCUGAUCAACAUCACCACCGUCAGCAAGACGCCGACCCCGAAAAACACGGUCUCUGUGGGCCAUAGCAACAUAGUAUUCACGACUUCCCUUGUCAGGAAUGUUGUCAAUACCCAAAAUACCCUUCACCGGAUCAGAAAACCGAUGGUGGAUAUCAAAACCGAAUGAACUAGAACCAUAGCACCUUUGUGAUUGUGAAACUAAAAAUAGUAUUAACGUUAAUAACAGUGAAACAUACAGAGAAUUAUGGGUUUGGUAGGAGAUAGAAAGAAUAGCCAUGAUCGAUGAGUUGAAUUGAAGUUAGCUAUAGUAUCAUGUGAUAUGAAAAAAUUUCGGAAAAUAUAUAUGGUUUGAGUCAAUAACACUAAUAACGUACUAGUUAUGUUUUAUAUGCGUGUGAAGUAAAUGUCAAUGGCAGAGUCAAGAAGCGUGUAAUGGGAAAGUUCAUUGUAUAUCAUGAAAUGAAACAUUCAAAUAUUCGGAGUUGGAUUAUAUGUAGUAGCAAUUUUUCAGCAUUUACAAAGUCAAUCGUUAUUGACCGUUCGAUCAUGAUCAGAUGGUUGAACAAGAUAUUAUCAUUUUAAUUAGGAUAAUAUCAACCAUCGAUUACCAAAUAAGUUUUUUUGUUGAAGGAUUGAUUGAUCAACAAAUAAGUGGAUAUUAUUAUAUAUACAAUACAUGCAUAAUAUCAACAACACACGUUUAGAAGAGUCAUAUCCAUUGACUACUAUUGAAUCACUUGAAUUGUUGUCUAGAAGGACUGUGCAUUUUAUGAUUUGGUUUAAGAUUCACAAGGAAAAGGAAAAGUCAAAGUCGUCUUAUAUAUAUUUCUCAUCCGCGAUCGACGUUGAUUUUACAUUAGCAAAAGGUUGGUGCCAAAUAUAUGGGUGUUCAAUUCAUAUAUGAAUAUGAUCGUACCCCUGUUGGAAACUUCUUUUGAUUAAUUUACUUAGUUUAUGUGUUUAUUUAUUAAAUUAAUAAAGUUGGUGAACAAAGACCGUUUUGCUGAUGAAAAUAUGUAUUUUAGCGGUGAGGAAGCCAACUGCACCCCCAGUUGAACUUUAACCUUUUCCUAAAAUUUUAUUAUUUUUAUCAUGUGAUAAUGAUGGAUGUUGCUAUGUGCCAUUUAAAAUUUCAAACUCUUCUCUAAAUAUAGAAUGAGUCGACUAAAUAUUAGUUUCUUUUAAAAAAAAAUAAAAAUUGAUGAUGUACGUAGAUGCAAAUUUCGAUUUGAGUUGUUCCUAAUCAUGCACUACUAAUUUCUAUAUCAGAAGCUGUUUCUCUCUUCCAGAGUUUAUUCUUCGAAGGUUCGCCAUUGAACAUAACUUAAUUUUUUUUGACAAGAGAACAUAACUUAAUUUAAAAGGUAUAUGUUUCACUCUUACUCAAGUAUUUUUGUACGUAAACAUAUUUUAGCACCCUAUAAUUUGAGUAAAAAAUAUAAUACUAUAAUAAAAUAAUAUAUAGUUAUUUUUAUAACAAAUCAUGUUUUGUGUGUGUUUAUAAUGGAAAUAAAUCAUGUAUGUUCAUAUAUGGAAGUAAAUUUGAGGUAUUUAAACGAUAUCAAGGUGCAAUUGGUCACUUUGCACACCGGCCACCAACGAUCUCCCAAAAUAAAAUUGUUAUCUAAAGCAAUGAAAAAUUAUUCUUGUAUGAUCGCAAGAUCAAAUAUAUAGUGAAAUAUAUAUAUAUAUAUAUAUAUAUAUAUAUAUAUAUAGUGUUUUGAACAUGUAAAGAGAUAUUUUUCUAUCCAUAAGUCCUAGCUCAACUGGUAAAAUGUCGAAAUUGUUAGGUCGGAUGCCAUGAUCGGGGUUCGAACCCCGGUACCUCCAUUAGUGUGUGUGAGUUUAUAAUGACUUUGUCAUUUCGUCUAUAAAAAAAAUGACAUUUUCCUAAUAAAAAGUAAAUCUUACAUUUUGAAGAUGUGUAUUUUUUUUCGUGUAUAUGUCUAAAUAGCAUAUAUUUAAUCUUGUGAUGACCAUACAAGAUUUUCACAUCAAUUAAACAUGAAGAAGAAAAGUAAUUCUUUCAAAAAAAAAAAAUAAGAAAUGGAAGACUAUAAGCAUUUGGACAAGUCAAAGGAUUCUCAAUAAAAGUCAUUGCCAGGUUGGAUUUUUUUUGGCUUAUCGUAACCCUUUUCAAAAUAAAUUUUUUAUAUUGAAUUACUUAUGUUAGAAAUCUCCGUGAACUGAACUCAGUUGGUAGGAAUAUUGCAUUUUAUAUGCAGGGUUCGGAGUUCGAACUCCGAACACUCUAUUUCUCCACAAUUAAACUGUGUGAGCUCUAACCACUAAACUACUUGAAGAAAAAAAAAAAACAUAUGUUAGAAUUUCCCUUAUAAAAAAAAUGAUGCAUUCAUUUAAUUGUCUUCAAUGAUUUGUCUAUUUGAUAUGCGCAACUCCUCAAAGAUAGUGCAACAAGUUGUUUCCAAAAAAAAAGUUGUUUCCAUUAUGUAACCUAUGUAAGAUAAUGGAAAGCUAUGAAAGAUAAAGGAAACAACAAAAUGAUUAAGCUCAUUAUCUCAAAGAAGGUAUGUUACAACUGUUUUUCUAUAAAAAUAAAAAUAAAAUUAAAAAGACCAGUAUCUACGAUAAUAGGUAGGAGUCAUAAAAUAUUGUUUAAGCUCAUAAAAAACCGGAUAUGAAAAAAGAUUAUAGUCAAGUCACUACUUCAAUACAUUUCCAUUUACCAAUAGCUAAUAUUUUUCUUACUAGUACAUCACGCAAUCCACGGAAAGUUAAUUAUCAAUAGCUAAUAUUUUUAAAAGUGAAAUUGCAAUAUCAUACAUAUGAAAUGAAAUUUAUAAGCAUAUACAUAUAAACUGCGUGUAUACACCGACAAAACAAUCAUAAAAGUUAUUUGUUAUUAAUGUAUGUAGUAGCAAGUGAUGGAACAUUUGGAUAGAGUUAUGAACAAAAUUAAUAAUUAACCCAACUUUUGGAAAACUUUCUUAGUACUACAAAAUAAAAUGGGCUUUGCCCUCUUUUUUGUACCAAAAAAAAAAAAAGAGCUUUACUAUAUCAAACGAAUAAACUUGUGCCGAAUUCAUAAUGAAGGAGAAAUCAGCCAAUGAGGAAAGAGAGUUGUGCGGAAAUCAAGGGAUACUGGUUCAAAUAAAGCGGAAAUCCACAAUAAAAAUCAAGGGAUGAUUUCGCUAUAAAUAGCUUUUUUUUAAAAUAAUAAUGACAAUGAAGCAUGAGUUAAAGCUUGCAAAAGAUAAAAGAAUCAAGAAAAUUGUUGUUGACACUUAUGAUAGGGUUGAAAAACAUAAGAAAAUUGUUGUUAAUACAUAUGAGUUCUUCGGCAUUUAAGUGCCGAGGUUUUUUUUUUCUUUCUUUUUUUGUCGGCAGUUAACUGCCGAAGGAACUUCGGAAGUUAACUGCAGCUGGUUCCUUACUUCGGUAGUUAACUGCCGCAGGAAUAUUUUCGUCUUUUACAUGUAUUUUUCAGUCCUAUCAUAUGUGUCAACACAACAAUUUUCAAGAAUCAAAACAUAAAAGUAAUUUUUACUUCUUAUAUCAACAUAAAUGUCAGGAGUGAGAUUUGUGUAUAAAAACAAGAUUUUAAUAAUGUCAUUUAGAAGAAAGGACUUCUAAUAUUCAUUAGUUCAAUAGUAUUUAAGUUUAAACGCACUUUUUACCCUCUAAUUUUGCAAAAGUUGUAAUUUUGGCCCCUAUUAAAAAAAAUGGCAAAAAUGACCCCCCAUAUUUAACCCUUUUGCAAAAGAUCAAUUUUGACCUGAUCAAUCCUAGGUGUCACGCCACAUAACUUAAAAAGUUGCCAGCUAUGUAUUUUUUAAAUUAUAAAAAAAACAAAAAUCCAUGCGUGUAAUUAGAGAAUAAAAAAAAUGAAAAAUAGAAGGAAAAUAAGGUGAGGCACGUGAGGCAUCUUCUUCUUCCCUUCAUUCUUCAUCAAUCUCCUUCUUCAUCCUCUUAACCUAACAAUUUCCAAUUCUCUUUUUAAAAAUUAAUUAAAACAAAGAAAAAAUUAAAAUAAAAAAUAUUAUGAAUAUUGCAAUACAACACCAACACCAACUUCGAAUUCGCUUUCAGAUCUCAACGAUUUCAAUUCAGAUACACAAGUUUCAAUCAUUGUUCUGGUUGUUCCUUGCGUUUCGGUAUUUUAUUUUUCCUUUUAAAAUCUUCAUAAACUUACACCAACCCAUACCUACAAAUUUGGGGUGGGAUUUCUGCAAAAUUUUACCAAAAUCGAACUUUAAUAUGUUCAGAACUGUCGCUGCCUUAUCAUUCACCUUAACCCUAAUUAUUCACCUUUACCUUUUCUCUGCGAUCUUUCACUCAUUUCAACUAUAGAUGUUAUAAACAGUAACCCUUUUCUUUAUCAAACUCCUCAAAACCUUCGUGAAUUGAAUCAUGUAUACAACGAUAGUGGUAGUAGGGGUAGUAGCAGAAGUAACAAUGAAGUUAUGUUGUUAAAAUCUGAAUCUUUAUCUUUCUCUUUAUCAGCAAACAAAAACAACCAAAAUCAGAUGAGUGUUCAUCACCUUUAGAAGGUGCUAAUCUUCAACGUUAUGGUUCUGUUGUUAGAUAUCUGAAAUUGUUUUUGUGUUAGAUAUCUGAUUUACGAGUUUUGCUUGAAUUGAUGAAUUUAUGAAGAUGAUUCUAUAAGUUUGAAGAAGAAUAAGGAUGAAGAUGAGAAAGACAGUCAAGAGUGAGAGAGAUGAAGGUGAGGGAGAGAGAGAUGGGUAGUGGGGUGUGUUCAUAUUUUCAUUUUUUUUCUUCUCACGUGCAACUUUCUUUCUUUCUUUUCCUUUUUCGUUUUUUUAAUUCAAUUGAUAAAUAUGUGGAUUUUUUUAUUUUUUUAAUUCAAAAUAUACACAGCUGGCGUGACACAUAUGAUUGACCAAGUCAAAAUUGGUGUUUUGCAAAAGGGUCACUUUUGCCAUUUUUUUUAGGCUUAAUUGCACUUUUGGACCCCUAUCUUUCCAAAAGUUGCGGUUAUGUCCCCCUAACUAAUUUAAAUACAAAACAGCCCCCUAUGUUUUGAUUCUUUGGCAGUUUUGGACCCUCGGUCCAUUAGUGAGGUGCCACGUGUAUUAUUUAGGGGGCCACGUGGCACCCCACGAAUGGACUGGAGGUCCAAAACUGCCAAAGAAUCAAAAGAUAGAGGUCUGUUUUGUAUUUAAAUUAGUUAGGGGGCCAUAACCGCAACUUUUGGAAAGAUAAGGGUCCAAAAGUGCAAUUAAGCCUUUUUUUUACAGGGGGGUCAAAAUUGCAACUUUUGCAAAGUUAGAGGGUAAGAAGUGCGUUUAAGCCUAGUAUUUGUAAGAAUACUUUGCUGCCGUUCCAGGUAAAUGUUCUUACCACACUAUAGCUGAUUAAUAUGGAAUAAGCAAAGAUUAAGAAACAUAAAACAGGAAAGAUAGUCAAGAAUUCAGAUAGUUACAUUCAAUUUGAUUAAUGUUGUAAUCAAAGAUUUAAUUAGAAAUAUGAGCCAACCUCCAAUUAAUUAACAGUUCCAUCGAAAAUCAUAUCACCAAACCAAGAUAAGUAGAAGACAUGAACAUGAUUGACGACUACAACUACAAUUGCACACCUCCGGAAAAAUGAUACCUGCAAUAGGAAUAAAAAUAAAAAUAAAUCGGUGACACAAAAAAGAGAAACAAAAAUAUCCUACAAACACACGCUGAGACACUUUGAACUUGAAUUGGAAAAAUAAUAUGUAGAUGAUUACAUGAAUGAAAAACUCACAUAAAAGAGGCAUUGAAUAAAGUGAAUGAAAGCAAAACAAAAACCAUGCAUUGCAUUUUUUAUUGAUCAAUACUUCUACAAAAAGAAGAAGAAUAGUCACAAUGAGAAAUAUUCAGAAAUAAUGAGGAUGGAGUUUGGGGAAUUGAGUAAUGGAAACAAUGACAAUUAGUGAUAAUUAAUUAGUGGAAAAUGGGAAUUGAAGAAGAAUGAGGUUUUGGUGUCUUUUGCUAAAUUAUUUAUGAGGUUUUGGAGGAAAGUGAAUGUUUGGAGCAUCAUUGAACGUCGUAUGCACCAUGCAUGUAACUAAAAAGAUUUGUUGGAUCGGUUACAAUUUUGAAGAAUCAAGAUUUUAUAUAGAAUAGAAUACUGUUAAUAAUUGUAUGCAUUAACAUUUUUAAAUGAAGGGUAUAACACCUUCGCCCUAUAAAGUUUCAAGAGCAUCCAUUCAUUCUUUCACCAAUCUUGUUGGAGCAAAUCAAUUAGGGUUCUGAGCUUCUUCAAGGUAAUUCUUUCACUCUGAUUUUUAUCGACCAUUCUUCCUUAUUUAUAUAAAUAAUCAACAUCAUAUUGUAAUAUUUUUCCAUGACUUACAUCAGUUUAUUUAGUUUGUUAAUUCGAUUGUAAUUGUUUUUCCAAAUUUCCUUUCGAUUAUUUGCAUCAGUUGUCAUUUUUAAUAUGAAGUUCGUACUUCAGAUUGAAAGAAAGCAACUUUUUGUCUUCUCGUGUUUGAUUCUUAGUUUCUUUUUCGUCCUCUAUGAUAUCAAUCAAAUUUUAAUCCCUUUUUUAUGUGAUUGAAUUUAACUUAAUUUGUUUAUUUUCCUUUUUACAACUUGUUGUAGUCAUGAAAAGAAAAAAGGUUUCAAUUGAUGCUGCAAGAACAAAAGUUGAUAAUGAGGCAGAGAGUCAUGAUGAACUUUUCCCUUUUUUUGACAAUCUUCCAUCUCACCUCACUGCCAAUAUUCUGCUUCGACUUCCCGUCAAGCCUCUUCUCAUUUGUAAAUGUGUGUGCAAAAUUUGGAAAAGACUUAUUUCAGAACCACAUUUUGCUAAAUUGCAAUUUGAGCGAGCACCACUUAGUUUUAUGAUUCGGACCCUUGACGAUAUUAGAGUGUCGAGAACCAUGUACCUUCUUGAGUGUGAACCUGAAAAGUUUGAGAUUGGAAGCAACAAACAUGUCAAGCUUGAGCCUAUAUUCAAGCUUCCUCUCAUAUCAUUUAGGGAUAAAAGAAGCGAGAUCAGUAAUGAAUUCAAUCGCCCUGUUCGUGCUGCAAGAUUAGUUUCGGGGAAAAACAAUGAGAACAUUGAUAGGGAUAGAACAAACCGUUAUAGUUAUACUGCUUGCAACAAAUAUUAUGAUAAGUUUGAUAUUGUGAAUUCUUGCAAUGGUUUACUUUGUUUGUCUGAACCAACUACCGGAAACCCUUCAGUGAUCUGCAACCCAGUCACAGGGGAGUUCAUAAGACUUCCUGAAGCUACCACGAAUCGAACUCGGGUAAGAAUGGUAGGACAAGUUGGUUUUGGAUUCCAACCUAAUACUAAUGAAUAUAAGGUAAUAAGAAUGUGGAUAAGACAUGGUAAACGUGCCAAUGACCGUGUGAUCCUUCAGAUAAACACACUUGGAACAACAAUAUUGAGAAAUGUUGAAGUGGAUCCUCAAAUUUCUUUUUUGAGUCUCGAGUAUCCCACUUGUGUGAAUGGUGCACUUCAUUGGAUAAGAUAUGAAAAUCAGCAAAGGUCAAUAUUGUUUUUCUGUUUUGAAAGUGAGAGGUUGCAGUCAUUUCCUUCUCCUCCGCAUGUGUUUGGAAACCAUAAUAGUGGAAUUGUUGAUAACAGACAUAUCAUGGGAGAAUUAAAGGGAUUUCUUUACAUUUGUGACUGGACAUUUUUAUCUGAUGUUUCAGUGUGGGUUAUGAAUGAAUAUGGUAUUGAAGAAUCAUGGACUAAAGUUUACAACAUUGAUACUUCGUUCAAUCCUUCGGGCUGUCUUAUUACAUGGGGUUCAGGUUUAUGGCCGAUAAAACACUUUGAAGAAGGUGCUGCCAUAUUGUUAUAUCAUUGCUACAAUUGUUUUAUCUUCUAUGAACCUGAGAAAUAUGGAUUCAAAGUUUUUCGAAUUCAUGGGAGUCAUUCAAAGUUUUUUGAAGUAAUCCCACAUAUUCCAAGUCUAAUUUCAUUGAAGGAUGUCUUGAAAGGAGACAAUAUCGAGGUGCUGAAUAUCCACUCAAGGUAAGAAUGUAGCUUCUAAUACUUUAUUUUCCGUACAAGUCAUAGUAAUUAAUUUUAAUCAUAAGAUGAGUUUUCAAAGGGACUCGAGUGAGUUUCUUAUGUUACCACUUAUAUUUUAACUUUCUAGUUUUAGCUAAUAUUACUUGACCAUUAUUCUCUAAUACCGGUUUGAUUAUUAUAGGUGUGCAAAGUUUAAAUUGCGGGAAGAAAGGGACGUUCUUUCUCUGUUUCAAGAGAUUGUUUGAGACUUAAAGUAUAUGUUUUUCAUCAUCUUACGGUGACUUGAUAAAUAAAUCUUCUCUUUCAUCAUCUUAUGUUACUUAGACUUUGUUGUGUAAUACUGUUGUUAUUUUAUAUAGGUGUGCAAAUUUUAAAUUGCAUGAAGAGAAUGAAGAUCUUGAAUGAUGUCUUAACAAAUAUCUUCUUCCUCCAGUGGUGAGGCUUUUGGUGAAGAAGGAAUUUUCAUAUAGUGGCUGGCUUAUGUUUAAUCAUGAGUUAUGAUUUGGCUAGUUGUGAAUUUUGAAAGAAAAUAAAAAUAAAAAUCUCGUUUUAGGAUGCAAAUGAUGGCUUUUUUGUUAACUUUAAUCUAGAGGUUCAUUUAUCAUUAUCUAUGCAAACACACUCAUAGUUUGUAAUUGUUCCUCAAAAAGGAUUUUUGAAUUUAUUAGUGUGAAAUAUAGCAAACCAAUUAUUUGAGAAGCUUCGAUUGCAGUGAUUAGAUUUAAAACUUUUAACACUUGAAUUUCAAUUUUUUGGUAUAAUAUUGAAUCCUUUACCAUCCAUUUAUCAAAGUUCACUCUAAAGUUAUUUAAAUUCACACAUGUUUUUAGGUCGAAUAUGUUUUAGGUCAUAUUUUCUUCCCUUUUUUACUUUUUAUGCCUUUCUUCAUCUGCGAAUCUGUUGCAUGUAAUGUUUGUUUUGUCUUUUAGUUUAAGUUAAUUAAAUUUGAAGUUUGAAAGACAUCUUGGACGUUGGUUAAUUUGAAUAGAAUGAUUGGUUGAACUUAUAGUUGUGCUGAAAUUUGAAAUUGUAUCAUUUACUCCCUCCGUUCCUUUUUACCAAUAUUGUCACUUUUGGAUAAAAAUUUUGUUCCUAUUUAACUGUCACUUUCAAAGUUCAAUGCAACAUUAAAUGUUGUUUUAUCAAUAUUGUCCUUAGUUAUUUAUUGCGGAGAGAGAAAUAUAUGAAAUGAGAUAUUAAAUGAAUAAGGUCAUUAUAGUAAAAGUAUAAUUUAUUGCAUCAAAAGUAGUAUCAAUUGUUGAUUGUCUUGGUUUGUGUAAAAUGUCAAAUUAUGACAAUUAAAAAGGAACGAAGGUAGUACUUUUUUUAUUCUAUUUUGCUACUCACUAGAUCAAACUGAUUUUGACAUUUUUUCAAUAUAUACUUUUCUGAGCUUGUACAAUUUCAGAAUAUCUAAUAAAAAGGAAAAAAAAAAAAAAAAAAGAUUGUCACAAAAAUUUUAAAAUUGAUCUUACGAAUAUCAUUCAUCUUAUUGGAAGAAAGUGGUAAGGAAGACUUGAUCUCAUUCCUAGCUAUUCGCCAUGAACAUGGUUACAAAGCUUGAAUUGCCAUUCCAUGCUCCAAAAAAAAAUCUUUCGAGCAUAUGUGUCACAAUCAAGUUGCUGCGGGAAGAAAAGACUGAAUAAUAUUUUAUUAUAUUUUUGCCUCAAAAUUCAGAGAAUCUUAGAAGAGAUUCUCAUAUGUUAUAAUGACUUGACCAAACUUCGUUACCUCAUUACUAUUGAAAUUAAAAGUAUAAGCAGAGUUAUCUUCAAGUCGACCACAAAAUUCACACUAUCAAACUAUACUGCUAUCCAUUGAAGUGCAUUAAACAACCCAAGGGCUUCUCCUACAUCAACAUGAUGUUUUUUAUCGGGAAACUCAUAAUUUGCGCAAGCACAAAAGUACCUUAUGCAUCACGUAAACAUAUUCUGUUGUUUUUAGAAUUAGAAAAGUAACUUUUAAAAAAAGAAAUCACCAUUGAAGAUAUUAUUGGGUUGAGUCACGAUCAGGUCGUUCUGUUUCAAACGUGUCGUGGUACCAUCGAGUUUAUGCAAGAUAGACUAACAACUGCGCCGCUUCCAGAAUAAAACAGUUCAGUUCACCGAUCUCGUUUGAGAAAUAACACCAUCAAUAUUAUAACAUCCCGUUUUCCCAACUUAAAAAUUUCAUAAACAUUUAUCAGAGUAAACAACAUAUAACGGAAUGCUACACUUCUAAAAUCAUAAAACAGAUAAUUAACAAAUUAUCUUUCAACAUAAAUCAUUAACGUAAUAGCAGCGGAUUAAAUUCUUCAACAUAAAUUAUCUUGGCACGCAGGCCUCAUCAAACACCUCAUAAAUUCAAUUCAAACAACUUAAUUAUAAAUCAAUAAAUCAAUACGUAAAGGAAUAGAAGCAUGCAAUCAAAGACCCCAUCCCGUUACGUAUCAGAGCAACCUAAGACUCGGUGAGGAAAGGCCACUCACGACAGCAAACACAACAACCUACUCUCGAUCACCUGCAAGUUACUCAUACGAAUAGCAACAUUUCCAAGCAGAAGGGGUGAGAUUUCACAAAACAAUAAUAUUAAACAUAUAAUUCAACAAUUAUAUUUAACACCUUGGAAACAUCAUAAUAACAUCAUGGAUAAUAAUAUAUCACAUAUCACUUCAUAAAUAGUUCAUAAAUGGAACACAGCUCAACAUCUUGGCAACUUAUCAUCUUUGACUCGACAAUGUGACUAUGCAACUUAGACCUCUUAUAUGCAUGUGGUACCAAUCCAGGGCAUCAAGCCCCCAUCGCUAUAAGUAUUAAUAUACUUCCAGGGCAUCAAGCCCCCAUCGCUAUUUGAGCUAAAGCUCCAUCGUGUUGAGUACAAGGCUCCAGGGCAUCAAGCCCCCAACAAUGAAAUGCUAAUGCAUGGACUCGACCUCUUAAACAUCUUAGAACAACAACCUCUUAUAUAAUCCAAUAAUUUGGAACAUCAUCAUCUUCAUCAACUUAGACUGACCCAUGCAGCUUAGUUAAAUAACAACAGCAACAUAGGCAGUAUACGAAAACAGCAUGACAUAAUAAUAUCAAGUGCAAGUCAACAACAUCUCAAUUAUACAUUCAUAACUCAAGUAAUGCGUAUAACAUUAUAUCACAUCAUAAUCAACAUCAACACAUCUUAAACAGCUUCACAGAUUAUAAUUAACAUCAUCAUUAAGUCUCAAUACUACCCCAAGGUUCAACCCUUAACAACUUGUGCGACACAGAUCGCAAAAUCCUAACAAGGCACUCUGUUUCUGGGUCACUCGCGAGGCGAGAGCCUCUGCUCGCCGUGGCGAGUUCAGGUCAGAAUUCAAAAGGUUUCAUUCUAAAUCUUUCCAGGUUCAAUCUCAUUCUACAUUUUUUCCUAAUCAUUAUUAGACAUGUUCAGGCACUCAAAAGCAUAUAAAGAUCAACUCAAAAGUCAAAAUCACGAAAUCUUGCAUGCUCUCUGGUCAAGCUCGCUAGGCGAGUUCAUCUGCUCGUUAUGGCGAGCUACAAGGUGCAACUCGCGAGGAGGGUAAGGUUUGCUCGCGAGGCGAGCGAUGAAGUUCAUCACUCGUCGUGGCGAGGAUCAUGGCUCGGGAGGCGAGCGAUGAAUGUCGCUACGGGCAGAAGUGCAGUUUUUCAUAAAAAUCACUAAUUCUCAUGGUUUAAAGCCUAACAUUGAUUCCAAAAUUCAUCCUAUACAUUAUCUAAGGUCUAGGAACAGUUUCUACAUCAAUCUAACAACUUUUCACCGUUUAAUCAUCAAAUUCUAUCAUUAACCCUAAUUCUCCGACUUCUCUAAUUCAAACCUACACUUGCUAAAUAUGAUCAUCAGAAUUAUAUAGAUUAAUAGAAUUGUAAGUUAGUCUCACCCUUACCUUAUAGGAUGAAAAUCGCAGCCCUAGAUCUCUCUUGCUCUUCUCUUGGCUUUUUCUCCCUUUUCUCCAAAACUGAUCGUACGUUAUGUUUUUCUCUAAACUAGGUUUCCCUAUUUAUAUCUCCUCCAUCUAUCUUAUCUUAUUUCUCUUUCUCCCCCAAAACUCUCUAAAAUCUCAAAACAACCCCUAAACUCAAUAUUUAUUUUAUUUUCAAAUCUUAUUUUAUUAAACAAUAAAAUAAGUCACAACUCCUCAUAAAUCACAUAAAAUCACCUCAAUCAUAUAAACCUCUUAAAUCACACAUAUAUCAUAUAAAUAUAAUAUAAACUCAUCUUAAUAACUUAUAGACUCAAUUAAAUAAUUAAAUAAUUCGAAACGGGCGUUACAAAUAUGAUUUAAUCUUCUAUUAAACCACUUUAUAUGGUACGAAAACCACUCGAAACCGAAGAGAUAUAAAGAGUAGAAGAAAUUAGCCAGGUUAUACACAGAGAUUAAUCAAACUUUUUUUAUGGUUUAAUAAAAUAUUUCACAAAUAUAUAGUUCUUCCGGAAUAAAAUAUAAGCAAAAAUAUUAAUUGAAAAAUUUAUGUAUGCAAAUUAUAUUUUUAACCGCAUAUUUUGACAUUUUAACCGCAUACAUUAUAUAACAUUAUCUACAAUCUAUAAUAUAUAAAGAGAAUACAUAAUUUUAAAUUAAAAUAAUUUAUAUUAUAUUAUUGAUGGCAUUCGAAAUAAUAAAGAUGAUUAAUUAUAAUAUAAAAAUACAAAAUAUUUAUACAUAUAAUUUUUAAUCUAAAUCAAAAUUUCAUAAAAACUAAAUACCUAAAAAUUGAAAAUUUCUCACAUUUUGUCGGGGUUGGUGGUAGCCUAUAGAAGCAUGCGGUGUGAAUUUCAAAGGUUAUAAUUGAUAGCAGCAACCAAAUUACCUUCAAAUGCAUUAAUAAUAUGUCAGAAAUUCCCAUUUUAGUUGAGCUAACACAUGCUCCACCACUAUUUUCAUUCAACUUGCAAGUCCAUUUAGAUUUAUCAGGGAGGCCAAUUCGAGACCCCAAAAUCCCAUAUAUAAUCUUCUAAAAAAACUUUAAACAACACUUAAUUUAAAAUAGAGUAAUUUUUUUAUAUAUAUAAAUAGAGUAUUUUAGAAGGAUUGCUUCUCGAGUUGAUCUGAAAUAUUGAAUUAUUGGCUUGUGCAAUCUUCCAUGAAGUUUUACUUACACACUUGGAAGUACUCUAGAUUACCACAACCAUUUUUCUUUGAGAAAUAGAUGUUUAUGACAAAAAAGUUACACCUAUAAACUACACAACAAGCCCUCUGUAAAAGCAUUCAUUAACUAGUGUUUCAUGGACACCGGUUAAAAAGACUUAAGUUAUUUAAUUAUACUGUAAGAAGUUAAUCUUUAAGUUUUUUCGUAACACUUAUAUCCUUUAAAUUAUUUAAUUGUACCAUAUGAAUCCAUUAAAAAAAAUAUUAUACCACUUGAAUCCUUUAAGUUAUUUAACUAUGACUUUUAAACACCGAAUAACUUACAUUCCCAAAAUUGUUAAAGCUAAAUAACUUAAAGGACCUAUUUGGUGAAGAAAAAACUUAACCUAAUUAAUUUAAAGGACCUAUAUUGUAAACUACCGUAAAACUUGAACAAGAAGAAGAUGAAAAUGAACAUGAUAAAAAGGGCACAUAAAUUUUAAAGAGUGUGUGAACACACUAAGCUUUAAGUUCGAUUCGCCCCCACCAAUUUUUGUCAAGUAGAUGCAAAUGAGUAUACCGACGAACCCCUUCAUGAUACUUUGGAAUUCUUGACGUAACUUGCACAUUCACAUUAAACGUAUAGAUCAAUGGUAGUUUACAAAAUAAAGUUCUCUCAAUUGCUCUCGUGUACUAGAGAAAAGAAGAAAUUGUUUUAUAUUAUUUUCUGACAAAUCUUAACUCACAAGAAUAUGAUUUUGUGUCAUUUUUUAGCCUCCCAAACAUAUCUAUUUAUAAAGAAUGUAAUGUCAUUUGGUGAAGAAAUACUUUGUGUCAUUGACUCACAAGAAUCUAAUGUUAUUUUAAAUAUAUUUUUUGUUAAAAUAACAUUUACAUUGAAAUAUCACAGUAUUUUUUUUCAACUGUUUAUUUUUUAGCCUCCAAAGUAUUUUUAUUUGUAAACGCCUAGAUCCGAAUAGUCGGCUGUUCAGAAAACAUAUUUGUUUUACUCUGUCUUGAAUCUCAAUAUUUAAUUGGAUAUAUCACAAAGAUCUCGACCAUAAAUUCUAAAUUGAACGGCUCAAAUCCAAAUCCUUAAAUGUCCCAGAGCUUGCAAAGAAUGGAAAACAAAUAUUUAAUGUGGUAGAUGAGUGAACAAUGGUAACAUUGAUGGAGUUGGUGACUUUGAAAGGACGAUUUGGUUUGAUAUGGUAACAUUGUCUGCUUGGUUUGAUAUGGUUUAUUAUGGCAUUCAAACUUUUUUUGUGUAUGAUAGUUCUUGUCUUCAAACUAAAGUUUCAAUCCCAAUAAAUAAGUAGUAACUACUAGUACUGUUGAUCACCUGUCACAUUAAGCAUUAACUGAUUGUUUAAGGUUUGACAAAUGAUAAAGCAUCUUAAAAGUUACAAGAGAAGCAAGCAAGAGUACAAGACACAAAUCUGGACACAUUCGACUACAUUUAGAUCGUUCAGUCAAGAUCGAAAUUUGUAAUAUGAACCGUUUAAUCUUGAUCCGAUAAUUGCAACUGCGCAUAAUUCAACUUAGCAAAACACUCAAUGUAGUCAUAAAUUUUAUAUACUAUACUAGAGUCUACACUCUCGUCAAUUCAUCUAUAGACUAUAGGGUGCUACUACAGUCUCCACUCUAAUGUUGUUUAACUCCAAGUAUUGCCACAUGAUCAGGUGCAUUGGACAAAACUUAGGUGUACUUAUUUUUGUGAUACUUUUACUGAUCUUCAACAUAAGUUUAAUUGAAUAAUUUAACUCAUGGAACAUGUUAUAUUUGGUGAAUAACAUGUAUAGAGCUAAGUUUUGUCCUUUUGAAUAUGCCGCAAAUAUCAAUCUUUGUCAGAAAUAAUUGAAAAAACUUAAACGAGUUUUAUUGAAGCUCCAAAAUAUAGUUUUCAUACAAAAAAAAAAAAAAAAUAUAGGCUUAAUUGAUCUACCGGUUCCUUAACUCAUUUCUUUUAUUCAAUUUGAUUCCAUAAGUCUUAACUUUCUCAAACACGUCCCUUAACUUAUUUCUUUUAUUCAAUUUGGUCCAAUUUUGAUAAUUUUAAUCCCCUAGAAAAUGAGACCGUUGGAUCACGGAUGUCUAUCAGAUUUUAUAGUAUAUCGCUAACACCUAAUUUAAACCCCUUUAUUCAUCUUCAUCUACAUUCAUCCUUCAUCAAUAAAAUCAGAAAUUUUUAUUUUAACCUAGAAGUGCCAAGCGAAGAACAACACACAUACAACAACAACAUACAGCAGGUAUGUUAAAAAUCCAAACAGCAACACCAAAAAAACAGAAGGAAAAAAAACCUUCCACCAGCGACCAAAAACAGGUUGCAAAUGAACAAAAUCGUCCUCUUCACAAACAGCCUUGAAAUCUACAACAUUGGGGUGCUCAUAUAACUUUUGAUAAAGAAAAAUUAAGGUUGAAUGAUGAAGAUUGGGUUUGUAAAAAAAAUUGGAAUGUAGGGUUUUUGAACAGAAGGAACAUUCAUAUGUUCAAGAUUCUGAAUCCAACCCAUUUCAAAAAUAGGAUUCAAAAACUUCUUCUUCUCACGCGUAAUCCCUUUCUUCCUUUCUUCUCUAAUUUUUUCUUACCACCAGAAAAGCAUAAUCAUGAUGAUGGUGAUAACAACAUAGCAACAACCUUCAUCCCAAAAUUGCAGGAAGUAGGAGGACAUAUGUAUGUCUUUCUUUGUACCCGUUCAUUUAAAAUAGAAGCUAAGAACUCAUGAUUUGAACAAAAAGAAACAAUCCAACACAAUACAAAUCCGCGAUUUGGAAAAGGACGAGCGAACCACACCCAGAUCGUACCGUUCGUCGAUAGAGACGAAGACCAUCUCGUGUUAUUGUUCAUCAACAAAGGAUUUAACAAAACAGAUCGAUGAAGGGAGAUGAAGAUGGAAGGAACAAAUUUAGUUUUUAAAAAAUCCAGAUCCAAAAAAAUAUAUGUUGUUGUCUAAGUUGUCAGUGCAUAGUGUUGUUCUUGGGUUAAACGCAUGACUUUGAAUAUGAUUUAGUUUUGGAGGUGAUUAUGAACGAUUUAGUGUUGUUGUUGGGGUGAUUCUGAUGAGUUAGUGGUGGAAGAAUUAAGUUGUGAAUGAUUAUUUUUUAUUUUUUCUGGAAUUUUUUUCCUGUAUUUUUAUUUAUGAUGAAGAUGAUGAAAUUUGCUUGGUUUAGGUGUUGGUGAUACACUAUAAAAUCUUAUAGACCUUCGUAAUCCAACGGUCUCCUUUUUUAGGGGAUUAAAAUUAUCAAAAUUGGACCAAAUUGAAUAAAAUAAAAAAGUUAAGGGACGUGUUUGAGAAAGUUAAGACUUAUGGGACCAAAUUGAAUAAAAGAAAUGAAUUAAGAAACCGGCAGAUCAAUUAAGCCAAAAAAAUAUCACCGUGCACAUCGUGAUUCUGUUAAACUCGCUGUGAAUCUAAAGAUGCACUUAAAUGCUCGUAUAAAAUGUUCAUGUUCAGAAUUGGGCAAGUGUUAGGUACCAUUCACAUGCACCAUAACAAAGUGAGACUCCAUAAACUUUGGCAAGAACAAAUCCACACGGCUAGAUUACUGUCUCAUAUGGUAUUGUUCUUUGUUUAGAAAACUAAAGAUAAAAUAGAAGUAUAGAACAAAACAGAAUGGAGACAAGCUACAAAAGGGUCGUCUACUUCAUAUAAGUCAUAUCUAUAUACAAGAAGCUGAAAAUGGUUUAUCUCAAAAUUUUCUUUACACUAAUUUAGUACAAUGAUAUCACAUAACUGCAUUAGCUCUCAGUAGCUGUAAUCAAAUGUAAGUUAAGACCUAGAAUUAAAUAAGCUUAUAAACAAAACCAAAAAAGAAAAAGAAAAGAAAAAAACCUCUUUUACGAUCAGUGCUAUUCAUAUACAAAAUUACAGAUCCCUUCUGCAUAAUGGGCAAGAACCAUGCCUUAAAAGCCACAUAUCUAUGCAAGGUAGAUGAAACAUGUGAUGACAAUGAGGUAAACUUCUAACUGUCUCUCCAAGUUGAAAGUCCUGGAAACAUACCAAUAAUCAGAAAAUGUCAAUAUCGAUCAAAAUCAAAUUACAGAAUAACACUUUGUUCAUGUUCAUGUCAGGGGUAAGCACUAAUAAUAGUAAGUAGUGACAAUAAAAAGUGCAAAAAAACCAACCUGGAGACAAACUGAACAAGAAACUUUCUCCCCUGAUGCCUCAAUAUUGUCAGCAGUGAUUUUGAUUUUUGGGAUCUUCGAAACCGAAUCUACGGAUAACCCUUUGGAACCACCAAUGUCAAAGAUGUUUUGAACCUCAUCAAAGCUUGUUUCAACAGCACCCAUCUGAUAAAAAAAAGUGUCAGAAAAAUACUAUGAAAUAAAUGAACAUUGCAGCCAAAAUUCUAUCUCAUUGAUAAAAUCCUUUUGAACAAAACAAAAGUACCUGACUUUGAACAGCACUCAGCAUUGCAGGACCUAUCCUCUCACGCACAAGUCUUCCACUCAACAAGCUAACAAUAACAUCAAUCUGCAUAACUCAAAAGGAUCAAAAUUCAUGCUACACAACAUGCCAUUACGAAUGUGAAUGAUAAAUAGAAACUCAAAGGGGACUAAAACUUUGCGAUCUUAUAGCUUCAUAAAAAGCUUCCAACACAAGAAAAGAUCUCAUUCUAACAAAACCUACUCACCAAGUAUAAAAGACAACCAAUUCCAGAUUCAUCAGAAUGCCAAAGAACAAGAGAUGAUUCAAAAACUUCAAUAGAAAAAACAGCUCCUGAUAUAGCACCAACAGCGGCACCUCGAAUGAAACCGCUUUCGGUCUCUUGACCUAUCAAAGCUCCUGUCAAAGCACCCAAUAAUGUUCCAACUGCAGAGAACAAAACAAUCCAUUAAACCUUAUUCAAAAAACAAACAAAAAAAACCAUUAAACCUUAAAACUUCAAACAUAUAAAUUGUCACAUCUAAAUGUUAAAAAUCCAAGAAAUAGAAGAUCAUUAAUAACCUACAAUUUUGUAAAUUUUGUUUACAUUAAAAAUAACAAAAUUAGAAAACAUAACCAAAACAAUGAAAAAUCCAAACCCAAUCAACAAAAUAUCAUAAACCCACCUCCCAAGUUUCAUUUUUUUCUUCUAAAUUUCACAUAAACAAAAUCAUCUGAAUCAUUUUCAACAAAUUGAAAAACAAAAUUAUCAUAAAACACAACACAUUGACAUUGCAAAUUCACCCAAAAUACAGAAACAAAACAAAGAAUUAGAGAAAUAAUUGUAGAAAAGAAUCAAACCUAAUGCAAAACAGAAGGUCAAGAUCGCAGAGAAAAUGUUUCCAAUGAUAACAGAAAUUGCGAGGGUACCAAAUUGUUUAACUUUGUCAACGAAAUUCCCAAAAGAACCGAACAAAGAAGAACGAGAAGGACAUGGAUUUGGUACAAAAUCCAUUUAUCUAGAUUUUCACACAAAAAAAUCGCACGAAUCGAUACAAACAAAACAACAAGAACAAGAAGAAUUGGUAAAGUACGUUCGGUUUGAAAUUGAUGGUACAAAGAUUUGGGUUUAAGGAGGAGUUAUAUAAUAAUAAAAUAAUGGAAAUAAAUAGUAAUAAAUAAAAAAAGGAAGAAAAAAUUGAGAAUAAUAAUAUGAAAAUGUUGAUAUUUAUAAGAGAAAGGUCUUGGUUGGAGAAUGCUUAAUGUGUAAGAGAAAAGAAGAUUGAAAGAAACUACGAUCAACCAACUCUCAUUUAAUGCUUCUGUGCCUUAACGACACCAAUUGUCUAUCUUUCUCAUUUUUAUUUAUUUUCUACACCAAUUUUCUAUGUAUACAAUUAUUAUUAUAUAAAUAAAUAAUUAUUUCCAAAUAUUUGUAGUCUUUUCCCAAUGUUCUUAUGAUUUCAUCGAUAAUGUUUGUUUUUAUUUUUCAUUUUAGUGUGAUAUUUAUUUAUAAAGUACGUUAAUACAAUACAAAUUUGUUAAAAUUCAAUAAUGAUAAAUUUGCAAACAAGCUCACAAUACAACAAAGUAUAUAAAGCUACAAAUAUGUCGAUAUUGAAGUUUUCAUAAUACUCGUGUCUUUGGAUCCGCAACAUGACAACUGUAAUCGACUGUAAUUUGUAAUUUGCACUAGAUGGAAGCUGAUAUGACAUUAUGAAACAAACAAACACUUGAACAAGACCAAAAAAACAAAAAAUAACACACAAAUACAACAGACAAAACAACGUCGCACUAAGAUGACUAAAUCACAACAAAAAGAAAACAAAACUCAAAUAUUUAAAUUAAGGGUUAAUUAAGUAAAUUGUCCCUAUAAAUAUUCAGAAUUUUAUUUUUAGUCCUAUAAAAAAAAUUCAUCAACACUUUUAGUCUUUGUCAAAAAUUUCCAUCAACAUUUUUUGUCUCUAAAAUGAUUAAGGAAAAUGUCAUAAGAACUAUAAAGUGUGAUUUUAUUUUGUAGAGAUUAAACACAAAACUGUGAAUAUUUAUAAGGACCAGAAACUUAAUUACCCCUUAAAUUGAAAAGGAAGAGAAAAACAUUUUAUACAGCGAUUUGGAGUUAAAAAGUGAUCUUGACGAAAAUAUUUAAUUAUUGCAUCUAAUACGUGGCGAUGUUCUAAAACUGCAAAUAAUAUUUAGUAUUUAUUUUACAAACCAGAUUCUCAAUUAAUUUCCUAAUUUGUAUACUUUGCAACAAAAAAAAAAAAAAAGAGUAAAUCGCUUUCAAAAUGGCACGGAUCGGAACGGUGACAACAUAGAAUAGAAGGUUUCUUUUUUGUUUUUUUGACAACUAAGCGUGAAACUAAUCUUAAACCAGCGUGAUUAAUAAAUGAGCCACAAAUUGGUCAUAGGUCACAUGAAAUGUGUUUGUUUACAAUUUGAUGGGUUUAUUUUCCAUCACUCAUUUUUCAAUGGUUAUAAGAUUGUUCUAAUUUUAACUUUUUCUUUUCAGCUUAGUUAAUAAAAGAUGUUUCUGAUGGCUUUCGUUGGCUGCAGUUUUCUCCACACGUUGUAUUAUUAUGACCAUACACCUUAAUACACUGCCCAUUUACUUUUCCACUUUUUUGAAUAUUAUAGUAUCUACUAGACUGCUAGUGUAUUUAAUUUAACGAAUGAUUUGGUGUCUACAAAUGUAGUAUUCAAUUUUUUUUAUUUCCAGUAUAGUGUAUGUGAUGAAAAUAUCUUAGUUGGUUGGUUGUAGUAGACUUUGCUAGGAAUGGGUUAUGGGACAACAUAAAUUUAUAUGCAUGUUGUAUUUAUUAUAUUGUUAUCACUCUUCCCAAUCCAAUGUGUACAAUUGGAUUAGCAUGGAGUACUGAGUACUGAUUUGCUAUUUGUAGAAUUCUUUAUUAAGAUUAUUGAUUUAAAAAAUAUUGUAAUAUAGAUGUUUGUAAAAGAAAAAAACAAAUGUUUGCUUAUUUUUUCGGUACAUGUAGUUCCGUAUGAAUAUGGUUUUGAUUCGGACCCUUUUUGGGAGGAUAUUUGAUUUCAAAAAAUCUAAAGUAGAUGGACCAAGCUCAUUCAUUACCCCCUUAAAUACGACUUACUUCAUCCGUUUUUAAAUAUAAGUAAAAUUGAUGUUUUAGAUUCAUUCAUAUUAUAAACCACAUACAUCAUUAAAUAAAUGAACCUAAAAAGUCAAUUUUGCUUAUAUUUAAAAACGGAAGGAGUACACAUUAAAAAGACAUUUACUAUGUUAAUGCACGAGUUUAAAUAUGUCCUUCUCCAUUUUUUUACAUUUCAUAUGUGUUGGCUCUUAUAAAAAUAUAAUAAUAAUAAUUUUUUUAAUAAGCUAAAAUGAAAUAUAUUACUACGAAUCUAAUCUCUCUCAACAUAAGGUGUGCUAGAAGGAAUUGGAUUAAAAAAUCCAUAUACAAAAUAAGUCAAACAUGAGAAAGGAGAGAAAAAAAAGAUGGAUCAAGAGUUAAGAGAUUGAUCCCAAUCGCAAAAGAGGGUAUUGCCACCAAUAACGAUAAUCAAAAGCAAAAGUAGGAUAUUUCCCCUUCAACCACCUAAACGUUAGUAGUUUUAUUUUCUCAAGAAGGUGAUUCAGAGAGAUCUCUUCAUGCUUGAAAAUUCUUCUAUUUCUCUCGUUCUAUAUGACCCAUACAAAUGAUAGCCAUAUUAUGUGCAAUAAUGACUAAUAUUUCUUUGAGGAUCCCCCAAGAUGACAAAACUGAAGAGAGUGUUAUGUAUGAAGGUGAGAAAAACACAAGAAGGAAGGGUUGAAUUGUGUUGGCUUUUUCUUCUAACUGAAAAUACAGAUCAGAAGCAGAUAGAGUUCUACUUCUGAAGAGAAGUUCAGAUUAAUUGCAGCAGAUAAAACAGAGAUAGAGAGAGAGAAGAAAGACACAAGCAAUUUAUACAGGUUCCUUCCACAAAUCGGAAAUCAGUCUUGUCCCCCUUGCACUUCCAAGGAAAGUUCACUAUGUAAUAUCUGAUUACAAUUGCUCACUACUAAACUUAGUAAGAGACUUCAAAUGCUCAAGUGCAACUGCAAGAGACUUCUUAUGCUCCUGAACACAAUCAAGAGACUUCUAUUGCUCAAACACAUCUGCAAGAGACUUCUUAAUUCAAACAGAAUUACAAGAAAAAUGUUUGAGGUUGAACACUUGAUAUACAAUCAGUGGUGUUCACAAUACAAAUUAGAUACAAACUCUAAAGACUCUAGAAUUUCUAAGAUAUGAGCUUUGAUAAGAAACUCUAAGUGAACUUUAAAGUGUAGAACAAUUUCAGCAUAAUUUUGGCUUACUUAAUUCAUGGUAUUGUUCUUAUGAAACUCUGAGUUUUCACUCUUUUAUAUAGAGGUGUGAAAGAGACGUUGAAUUGCCAGCACAUUCAAAAUAGAGUCGUUUGAAGCUUUUGAUCAAUCACCAAUGAUCAUUUGCCUAAUAUGGUUGUUGUCCUAUGAAGGAUCGAUUUCAAAUGUAUUCCCUUUGAGAAGAAACAUUGUUGCAGACAGAGCUGUUUUUCUUGUCUUGUAGCAGAGACAAAAACAGAGUAGUGGAGAUAGUGGUUGUACACUUCGUACAAACGUACUAUGUCAACGCUCUUUGAAGAAUUAGCAUCCAAUGCCUUCCAAAAUAGUCGUUGUAAUACUUUUCCAGUCUUCUUCAAUCAUAGACGAGUUUGAUUCCUUUAAACAGCUUUUGAAACUUUAAGUUGCAUCUCCUGAUGAACUGCAGCUUCUGGUGAUUCACAGCUUCUGAUGACGUCAUCACUUCAGGAGCAGUUUUCUUCAGACGCUUUAAGCUUCCCUUUUUGUUGAUGUAUUUGCUCUUUAUUUGUUCUUCCAAGACCUUUUUAAGAUGUCAAAUUUUUGUCUAUAGUCCUGUACACUUGAACAAAUAUUAGCAUAUCCAAUUGAAAUUUUUUAAUACUUUGUUAUCAUCAAAACUCUUAAGGGUUAUUUUUGCUAAACACAUUUUGUUCCAACAAUGUAAUGUGAGCUGGAAAAAUUGAGUCAAAGCCUAACCAAAGAGUAACCAUUGACCAGAUAGAACCAUAAAAGUCACAAUUGAGAAAGAGAUGAUCUGCGGUUUCAGCUGAACCACAUCCACAUCCACCCGAGCAAAUAUGAUUGUUGUUAUGAAGUACUCCACGCCUAAUUAGGUUGUCUGUAGUAGGAAGACAAUUAUGAAGCAAAUGCUAAGCAAAGAGGCAAAUUUUUAUAGGAACCGCACUAUGCCAAGUAAGACCGUCCGAAAUAAACGGGGAAUUAAUGUCGAUAAUAAUAAUAAUAAUAAUAAAAUGUAUUUUUUUAGAUUUCUUAAAAAAAAAAAAAAAGUAUUCUUUGAGAUUGUUCACUUAGAAUGAAAUGAGAAAAAAACUAACAGUGUUUUAUAAAUUUAUUUUUGCUAACCACUAUCUUAAUAAUUUUCAUAAAUAUCUUUAAAAAAAACAAUUUUUAUAAAUACGUAGGGAAUUAUAAUGAUUUAAAAGUGAUGAACAUAAUAUUAAUUUUUAGUGAAAUUGGAAUGAAAUAAUUAUUAUCAUUAUAUUAGAACAGCUUAUUUUAAAAUAAACUUUAUUAAAAUAACACUUAUUUUAAAAUAAACUUUAUUAAAAUAACACUUAUUUUAAACAGAGAUAUUACUUUUUUUAAUCAACUAAUUUCGACAUUAUAUUGAUAUUUUAUUCAACAAUGAAUAAAAGUUUGAUUAUUCAAUAUAUGUCAGUUUAAUGAUAAGGUAAUCAUUAAUAAACAUGAAACCAAGUAAAAUAAUCCAUGUUCUACAUCCAAUGAUAGAACUGCUGUCAACUUAAUUAUUGUAGGCACCUCCUUGUCAUAUAAUAGUUCAUCUCUUAAGGCUAACUCUUCAAUUAUAGAUUUUGUUGUCUUAAGAGCUUUCUCAGUUAUGAUGAACUAUGAGAAUGGCCCUUAAAUCAAAGAAGUUUGAUGGUAUCCUCCCAUAAUGCAUUGGUUAAAAUACAACGUUGAUGGAGCUUCUAAUGGCAAUCCGCAACCCUGGACCUUCAUAUUGUGGGGGAAUAUUCAGAAACUCAUGUUGAUUUUGUAUGAGUUUUUGCUUUCAACUUAGGCAUCUCGAACUCAUUAGUUGAUAAGCUUCAGGGAGCUAUGAUCGCAAUUGAAAUAGCAUCUCAAAAAGGGUGGAAUCAUCUUUGACUGAAAACGGACUCAGUUUUGGUUGCCUUAGCUUUCGAGUCAUUCAAAAUGGUUCCUUGGCAAUUAAAGAACAGGUGGGAAAAUUGCAUGAUCAAGGUUUCCUCAAUAAAUUUCUUUUGUAACUCGUGUAUAUAUUGAAGGAAACCAUUGUGUUGAUAUUUUGGUAAACAUUGGUCUUUCUUUACAAACUCAUGCUUGGUGGGAUCAUGUUCCUAGCCAAAUUGGUUAUGAGUUUAAUAGAAAUAGGCUAGGCAUGACUAACUUUAGAUUACACUAAUGUAUUGAGGGAUUCGGUAUUUGUCCCCCCUCUAUCUUUUUGCUUUAAUAUAUUUCUAUGCGGCUCGCUUCUUUGACAAGUCUCAUUUUCCUUACAAAAAAGUUCUACAUCCAAUGAUACGAUAAAGUACAAUGAAUACUUUGUCCAACAAAAAAUACACCACAAACGAGGGCUAAGACUAAUUCAACAAUGCCACUUCAAAAUGCAAUUUAGUGGGUUAUAAAACCAUUCAUAAUACAUGUAGAGGUUCAUAGAAAAAUUAGUCAAGAUUGUUUUUCACUUUUGUGGGUGUGCCAAUAAGUUGGAAGGAUAACAACUAAAAUCAGCGGUGAAGCUAGCUAUUUUUUCGUGAUGGAACCAAAACUAAAAGAAAUGAAAUAAAAUAUAUUUUAAUUAUUUUUUGACAAUUUUUAUUGCUAACUGGGCGCUCUUUAUAAUUGUUUAAAUUUUUAUUACCAAAGUGUAAAUUUUUCAUAUGGUUAAAAUAAGUACUAAAUUUAGACCGAUAAAAAAAUAUAAUGAUGAAGAAAUACAUUAUUAUAAAUACUUUUUUAAAGAUUUAUUUAAAAAAAAUACUGUUUUAAAGAUAAAACCCCUAAUACAAUGUGAAAGAAAAUAAAGGUAUAUAAUAAUUUAGUUGGAAUCUCAGGUGAUUGAUCUUUUACGACAAAAACCAAUAUCCAAAUAAAUAAUAAAAGUAACUUAAGAAUUAGAUUAUUGAAUGGAUCAUAAUGUGGUUGAUUUAGUUUUUAUACCACCACUUGUGUCCUCCACAAGCUUUAUAAGAUUUUUUGUUUUAUCUAUUUAUCCUGUAACAAUCAUUAUUCAUAUAGGAUAAAGUUUGAAAAUAUACACCGAAUCAUCCAUAAAAAACAAACAUAUAUAUUUUUGAAAAUAUACCAUGGAUCAUGACAGUAUGUUAAGAACAUGGCAUGACAUAAGUGGAUCCACCAAAUAUACGAAAAUAUCAAAAACACUUUCAGACAACAAAAUUCAAUUGAAUAUUAUUAUGGGUUAAUUAAGUUUUUAGUCCCUGUAAAUAUUCACAGUUUUGUUUUUAAUCCCUAUAAAAUAAAAUCACACUUUUUAGUCCCUGUGACAUUUUCCUUAAGCAUUUUAAGGACCAAAAAUGUUGAUGGAAAUUUUUAAAGGGACUAAAAAUGCUGACGGAAAAUUUUAUAGGGACUAAAAACACUAACGGAAAAUAUUGUAGAGACUAAAAAGUGUGAUUUAUUUUUAUAGGGACUAAAAACAAAACUGCAGAUAUUUAUAGGGAUGAAAAACUUAAUUAACCCUAUUAUUAUCGAAUAAUAAGAAUACUAUAUCCUUUUCUCACCUACCUGCUAUUCUUCUCUUCUCUUAUUAUUAUUACCUUCGUUCUUCACGCUCUCUAUUUUUCUCUCUCGAUCUCAAUCUCAAUCUCUUACCAUGGGUAAAGAAACUCUUACAUAACAUCAACAUCUAACUCUUUCGUUCUUAAUACCAGAUUCAAUUUAUCUAAAUUAAUCUAUAUAUUAUGAAAUAUGCUUAUUUUUUUUAUUUUUUUUUAUUUUCAGCAACUCAAAAUCCAUUCAACAACAUAUUGAAGACACUGGAAAAGCCAGGUGGUGGAGGUGAAUUUGGAAAAUACUAUAGUUUGCCAGCUCUCAACGAUUCCAGAAUCGGUGAGUCAUUUUAUUUAAUUAUCACCGGUGUUAAUGUGUCAGUGUCGUGUCUGGUGUCUGUGUCAGAAUGGUUGGAGUAAAAAUGAUGUAGAAAUUUGUGUUUGUGUUUUCAGAUGCACUUCCUUACUCAAUCAGGAUACUUUUGGAAUCUGCAAUUCGUAACUGUGAUGAGUUUCAAGUUAAGAGUGAUGAUGUUGAAAAGAUUAUUGAUUGGAAGAAUACUUCUCCUAAACAGGUGGAAAUUCCGUUCAAGCCGGCUAGAGUGCUUCUUCAGGUGAGUGGCGAGCGAAUAUGUUAAUGCCGGGAGUGGAUGAGUGUUUAGUGAUAUUGCUUUUGUGAAAUUCUUUGAUUGUUAGUUAGUUGUAUUGUGGUAUUCAUUGUGUUUUUAAUUUUGAUAUCAGGAUUUUACCGGGGUGCCUGCUGUUGUUGACCUUGCCUGCAUGCGAGAUGCGAUGAACAGGCUUGGUGGUGAUUCUAAUAAAAUUAACCCAUUGGUAAGACAGAUACAGAUGCUGCUUAUUGGUGAAUUUGAGAUUGAUAUUUGAUUAUUUUUGCGUCGAGCAUGCGUAAUAAAUUUAAAAUUUUGGUUACUUUCAGGUACCGGUGGAUCUUGUCAUUGAUCACUCUGUUCAGGUUGAUGUAGCAAGAUCAGAAAAUGCUGUUCAGGCAAAUAUGGAACUUGAAUUCCAGAGGAACAAGGAAAGAUUUGGUUUCCUCAAAUGGGGUUCAAAUGCGUUCAACAACAUGCUUGUUGUUCCUCCUGGAUCAGGAAUAGUCCAUCAGGUUAUUGCAUGAUUCAGUAACUAGUAAAACGCGUGUGUUAUAUCUGAGUUAUAAUUUUUACAUGUGAAGAAUUUUUUUCUUCUUUAUCCAGUAAUUCCAGUUUGUCUUCUGAAUCAAGAUUUGCAAAUUCAACUUUUGCAGGUCAAUUUAGAAUACCUUGGUAGAGUUGUGUUCAACACAAAUGGUGUGCUUUAUCCUGACAGCGUUGUUGGAACUGAUUCACACACAACUAUGAUUGAUGGCUUGGGUGUUGCUGGGUGGGGAGUUGGUGGAAUUGAAGCCGAAGCUGCAAUGCUUGGCCAGGUAAAAAUAACGUGCUACUGGCUUUUUCACUUUCUUUUUUGCUAAUUAGUAUAUUAUUAGAAAUGCAUUUUUUUGCUAAUUAGUAUAUUAUUUGAAAUGCAUGUGUAGUUUUGGCCAAUUGUUAACCUGUUAUUAGAAACAAUUAUUUUCCUUUGCAGCCCAUGAGCAUGGUCCUACCUGGCGUGGUUGGGUUCAAAUUAUUAGGCAAACUACGAAGUGGUGUCACAGCUACUGACUUGGUCUUGACUGUUACUCAAAUGCUAAGAAAGCAUGGGGUUGUUGGCAAGUUUGUAGAGUUUUAUGGUAAAUACUAAUUUAUACAACAUAUUUCUUCCUUUGUAGCAUCAUGUUCCUAGCUGAUUAAUCAAUCUUUCCUUCAAUAAUAAUCGUUUUAUAUUUCCUUUAUGCAGGGGAAGGCAUGAGUGAACUACCUUUGGCUGAUCGUGCCACCAUAGCAAACAUGUCUCCUGAGUAUGGUGCAACUAUGGGAUUCUUUCCUGUGGAUCAUGUCACUUUGCAAUAUUUGAAACUGACCGGCAGGAGUGAUGAAACUGUACGUUAACACUUGUUAGUUGUUUCGUGAUAUUUGAUUUUAUCUACAUGUUCUUACACGUCUUUCUUGCAGGUUUCUAUGAUAGAAUCCUAUUUACGAGCUAAUAAGAUGUUUGUGGACUACAAUGAGGUAUGCUAUGCAUGCAUAUAUUGUUUUGGGAUAGUUAUAGCUGAAAUGUCUGAAAGAACCUGAUCUGACUGAGAGUUUGCUUUGUUGCAUUGCAGCCCCAAGUGGAGAGAGUGUACUCGUCCUAUUUGGAGCUCAAUCUUGAAGAUGUUGAACCAUGUGUCUCAGGUCCAAAAAGGUAACGAGUCUUCAUGUUUUCCACUUAAAAUUAAGGAAAAUAAAUGUACCAUUACUUUUAUUUUGCUUCACUACACAUGCCUUCCCUUAUUAAGAUUAAAAUAUUGUUACAUACGAUUAUCUAGGUUUAAAAAAUUACAAAACCACCACCAACUUUGAAAUCUUAUUUAAGUUCAACAAGUCUGUCAAAAUUGUCUAUUCCUACCCUUGACCCUUGCUGGCUUGUUUAAUCAUAUAUUUUGAGGAAAAUGAAGACC
This 58332-nucleotide long non-coding RNA is filed under the name Medicago truncatula (barrel medic). RNAcentral's name for it is "long non-coding RNA (MTRU_LNC002893)". The stretch from base 4351 to 4581 matches the Rfam family "MIR2655 microRNA precursor family". The record is from RNAcentral. Lineage: Eukaryota; Viridiplantae; Streptophyta; Magnoliopsida; Fabales; Fabaceae.